RNAcentral lists this long non-coding RNA (65992 nucleotides) under Solanum tuberosum (potato). RNAcentral's name for it is "long non-coding RNA (STUB_LNC009458)". Lineage: Eukaryota; Viridiplantae; Streptophyta; Magnoliopsida; Solanales; Solanaceae. The record is from RNAcentral.
GAGGUUUGAACAAUCUACUCCGUUUUCCAGAGUCUCGAGGUGAUUCCAUUCGAACAAUUUCUCUUCCCAUAUCUCGCACUAGAUCAUGCAUCACCAAAUAACGCCAAUCCCUUUGGAGCAAGUUCCUUUGGACUAAGGUUGAAAUUGCACUCUCAGAAUAAAAACCACACGCAUUUAAUGUUUUGAUAACUUCAUCCUCAAAAAAUCCAUGGAAGGCACAUGCGAUAUCAAGGAAAACACUUUGAGUAUCACAAUCAAGUCCAUCAAAGCUUAUCUUGAGGAUCUUUUGAAUAUCACAAUGAGGAAUUGCUCUUAGUUUUUUGAACUCGUAUCUCCAUUCUUCUACGGAUCUCCCUUGUAAAUGUGACCCCAAUGUCACAAGAGCUAACGGUAGCCCACAUGAAUAUUUGAUUAUGCUUUGUGCAAGCUCAACAUAUUCUUGUGGCGGAGAAGGACUACUAAAAGCAUGACAAGAAAAAAGUUGUUGAGCUUCAUCUUGAUUUAAAAGUUUUGCCUUGUAUCUCUCAUUUUCUCUAAUCCGAGAUAACAAAUGCUUGUCUCGGGUUGUAACAAUUAUUAAACUACCAGAGCUAAACAAACUUCUGUCUCUUGUUAAGGAUUCUAAUUGGCUCAUAUGAUCCACUCCAUCAAGAAUAAUUAGAACCUUCUUUGACCCAAGUCUUGCUUUGAUUAGAUUGACUCCUUCAGCAACACUGGUAACUUUGACGUCCUUAGUUUUGAGAAUUUGAUUUAGUAGUUUUUCUUGUAACUUGACUAAACCAAAUGCUUCAGCUUCUGAUCUAACAUCUGAAAGGAAGCAACUACUAUCAAAUUGUCGAAAUAUUUGAUUGUAGAUAGCUUUAGCCAGAGUUGUUUUCCCUAUUCCACCUACGCCAUAUAUACCAACCAUACGAACUUCAUCUACACAUCCUUUUUGGAGUAACAACUCUAUAUCUUCGACACGAGAAUCUACUCCAACAGGGUGCCAAGCAACAUCUAGAGGUGUCUGGUUUACCUCUUGUAGAACUUGUUUUACAAUACUUUCAAUAAAUUUUGAUUCAUGUCUGCAUAUUAGUAAAAACAAAAGUUAGAUAUUUGAAAAAUAAAAUAAAAUGAUGGUCAACUUAUGGGUAAUACUUAUAAGUCAGUUUGACCAGUUUAUAAAUAUUACCCGUCAACAACAUUUUGCAAAUCCCAUCCAGAUAAAUUUGCAGCUUCAGUAAGUGAAUCCGUCCAUUUUUUCAUUCUCUCAACCUCGAAUGAUCGUUCCUUAAGCAUAGCGAAAGCUUCACCAAAGUAUCCGGUUUGCUUGCGUACAUGAGAAGGAUGAACAUCAUAGAAGAUAGGUAAAACUAUUUGCUUUAACUUGUCUUUGCAUUCGAGAAUUUUAACAAGUUCAUCGAGACACCAACUAGACGAAGCAUAAUUUUUCGAGAAAACAACAAUGGAAGCUCUAGACUCUUCAAUUGCUUUCUCAAGUUCUGUUGAAAUCACCUUGCCUUUUCUUAAUUCCUCGUCGUCUAUGAAGGUAUUAAUUCCGACUUGACAUAAUCUGAAAUAAAGAUGAUUUGUGAAGGUUUUUCGAGUAUCUUUACCUCUGAAACUCAGAAACACAUCAUAAGAAAAAUGGGAAAAAGUACUAGAAGAUUCUCCUCGUACAAAAAGAGUAUUCAUAUUUGAUGUGAAUAUAUGGAAGAAUGAGUAGCUAUAUAUAUAAUAUACCAUGCACAUGCUAUGGUUUUUUCUUGGUAACUUAACUAAUACUAUAUAUUCUUUAAUUUAUUUUGUACAAUUAUUCUUCAUUAAAUUUUGUUAAUUGGGACUAUUUUAAAAAUUGAUUCUUUACCUUUUGUCUCAUCUUUAAUUUGUUUAAGACUUAAAUGAUAAAAAGUAAGAUUCUUUCUUCCUUAAAAACUCAAAAGUUCAUCUCUCCACAUAAUUAUUAUGAUGAUGUUAAGCUUGAUGUCAUAAUUUUUUAAUAAUGGAAUUGAAAACAUCGAUUAGUUCUCAAUUCACAAGUUGGAUUAAACUUUUUUUUUACACCUAAUCAAGCAGUAUCACAUAAAUUAUAACGAUAAUUUUUUAAAAGAAAAACACUUUGUAUUAAUAGUAAAAACUAGGAAACUUUGUCGUAAUAAAACUAACUACUAGUCUAUUGCAACUAUUAAACAACUAAUAAAACUAAUUGGAUCACUCUUACUGCACCAUUGGUCCUAAUCCUAUACCUAUCAUACUGAUAUAGAGGCGAAUUCAGAACGUAAAAUUUAUAAAUUCUUAUAAAAAAAUUAAAAUUUAUGAACGAUAAUAAUUGAGUUCAUAAUCAAAUUAUAAUAAUUACUCAAUGAAUUUCGUAGUACAUAUAAAUAAUAUGAAUAAAAUUUAUUGAGUUCACACGAACUCUCUAUAGUGUGGCAGGUAAAAUCAGUAAUUUUGAUCCAAAUUGAACUUUGUAUUUAUGAUAAUAAAUUUGUUUGUUAUGUGUAGCAAAAAUAUCCGGAACCCAAUCCGACCAGUAAAUGCUUUUUAUAAAAUUCAGAACCUAUAAAUGUAAAAUCGAAAUGCCAGUAGUAGUCAUAGUAUUUGGAACAAAGAAAAGCAAGGGAAUAACAAACCAUAUCUUCUGCUCCAACUUCAUUUUCUUUUAGUAUUUUUGGAGGGAAAAAAGGGAAUAGAAAUUAAAUAUUAUCAGAAUGCCAACCAAAUAUUGAUAUUGUGCUCUAUCUUUACUGUGGAAAAAAAAUUAAAUGUAAUUUAUUUAUGCAGUUUUUUAAUCUUCCAGGGGUCCCAUUUUUCUAUAGAUUGAAUUAUCUUAAUAUUUUAUGACAAAAUACUGUAAAGUGAUGUAUGACUGUAUGGCAUAUAUACCAUUUGUAUAUUCCUCAAAAUCAUGAUAAUACCAUUUGUUUCUAACUUUUGAAUUGUACUAAUUGAAUAGAUUAAUUGUACAAUAUACUUUUGUUUAGUUCAAAGUUUUCCUCUUUGUACUUUAAGCUUUGGUGUCUAUUGUUUUCCACAUUUUAUGAGGUGUUAGGACUAGAAAAAGGCAUAAUACAUAAACAUACAUUCAAACUCGGUCUUAGUUGGAGUGAUCAUUUAGACACCUCCAAAAUUUUUGUGUCACGUUAGUAUAUGGUGUCCACGAGACACAUUAAGGGUGAGUUGGAGUGUUUAGUUGUUAGUUGAGAUAUUCACUUUCAAAGUUAGAAUGCUUACUUGCCGAUUGUAGACAAGUUUGAGUGUUUGUUUAUGUUAUUGUUGAUGGAUCCAUUUUUCAGUCACUACUUAAUUAGUAGCUAGAGGCGAUAUUACGAUUUUGAUUUCGUAGGUUCUAGACCACGAUCCAAUCUUUUUUGCUUGCUAGUAACUGGAGGCGGAUAUUAGGAUUUUGAGUUUGUAGGUUCUAGAUCACGAUCCGAUCUUUUUUGCUUGCUGAAAUGUCUGAACACAAAUACAUUAUUUGCAUCAAAGUUAUUAAGUUCAACCAAAUCCGUAGGUUCUAUAUACAUGUGGACCUGUGGUGGAUCUACCCCUAUUAAUUAGUUACACUUGCGAAAUUUUAAUUGGAUGACAAAACUAGGAUCGAAGUUUCGAGUGUUUGGCAUCUGACGGAUGAAAAAAAAAAUCUGAAUGAAAAAUACUUUUUAGCAAAUCAGCUUGUAGUUGGAUGAGAAUUUUGAAUAAUACAGAUUGAUAGUAGUGUCUAAGGUGUUGUAUACAAAUACGUUUAGAACCAACCUUUUUCUUACCUAACGAACACAAGAAAAUAAGUAAGAAACCUACUUAAUCUCCGGAAAAACAUUUUCCAAAAAGACAUUUUAGAGGCACUGUUAUCAUUUGGUAGAUCCAGGUCCAUGGCCUAUUUCUAUGGAACACAUUUUCCAUGGUACUGAACACACUCUCAGAACUUUGCUCGUUGAUACCCACUGUUACGGACCUCACUUGUGGGAUUUCAGUGGAUGUGUUGUUGUUGUUUGAGUUGACAUGCCCUGCUGAAAGUCUUUGUGGGUAGGAGGGAGUAUAAGAAUGAUCCACAACUGCCGGCAAAGAAGUAACAUUACCAUGUUGAUCUAAAUAUAAUAGAUGUACUCCUAUCUUCUUUACUACGGCUCCGCCAGUGCGAUCCUCUACUCUUAUCUGUUCCCCUCCUUUGAUGAUGUUCAGGCCAUUAAAAGGUCUACCAUUUGAGAAAGAUAAGUAAUAUACACAUGAUACUUCUCCCUCACUGUCAGGUACCCAAGUCCGGAAAAAAGCUGAAGGCUGGCCAAUAGUAACAUCAAACUCUUGAAGACGGCUGGUUACAUUGCCAAAGUGGCAAACAAACCAGAGAACCAUUCCUAACAACUUGUUAUUAUGUACUGUGGGCAUAAUCAAACAGAUAGAUGGAGCUGUUACUUUAUUGCUGCACCAAUCUGGAAUCUCAUUGCUUUCGAGAUUAAUUCGUAACGACACCUUCAUCUGAAAAAUUAAGACACAAUUAGAUCAUUAAUUAUUAAUGUGAUACAAGAGAGAGAUCAGAGAGGGAGAGGGACUAACCUCAUACAGUUGAUGUUUUCUAGACGGAAUUGACAGAGCAGGGGCACUAAAGAAGCCUUCACUGAAUGGAUUCUGCAGUGAAGUACAAUUAAUCAUGUCGAUCUCAUAUAUUGAAGGGAGGUUGUCCAAUCCUGUAAUCUUGACCAGUUUUUGGCAAUUCCUAAGUUCAAGAGUUGUAAGGUACGCUAAAUUUGAUAUUGACGGGAGUGUUUGAAGAUUCUCCCAAUCAUUCAAACACAAGGACAUCAACAAGGGUAACUUGGAAAAAUCAAAGGGUACAUAGAGGAAACUAUUGCCGCUCAAAUCUAAACAAAGUAACAUGGAUAAUUUCCCAAUAUCCCUAGGAACAUCAAAACCACAAUAUGAAAGGCGUAGAAUCGAAAUAAAUUUUGACAAGGAUACUACGGGGAGUACUCUUGUUUGAGAAAACCUCCUUUUGGCCUCUAAAUUCCGACCUCUCACAUCCAAUCUCGUAAGAUUUCUUAACAUUUCAACAGAUCCAGGCAAUUGUUUUAUACCUGUAUGACGUGCACGAAGAAGUCUUAGGCUUUGCAUAUCUCCAAUGUCAACUGGCAGUGUUUGUAAAGAUGAGCAGUAACUAAUGUACAAAACUCUAAGGGAUUUUAGCUGGCAUAUGUUGCUCGGAAGUUCCGUAAUCUUUUCACAACCAUUCAGUUGAAGAUAAGUUAGUCUGUCCAAAUUUCCUAUUGAUGGAUGGAUCUCCUUCAGACUUGAGCAAUUCUCAAGCAGCAAAGUCUCGAGACUUCGUGAACCGUUUGAAGUUUUGGAGUUUUUCUGAGGCGCUUGCAAUCAGAGAGAUCCAGCAUUUUCAAAUUUCUACAACACUAAAAGUAAACAAAAUAUUGUUUCAAUUAAGAUUUUCUUUCUCUUAAACAUUACACAUAAAAUUGCAGAAUUGAGUAACGAACCUGCAAAUUCAAACCAAAUUCUUGGAUAUUGCUCCCUUUCAUAUUCAGAAAUACAAGUUUAUCAGAUGGAAAAUUUGAUGGUAUACAUUUUUAAAGGACAUCCUUUCCAAGACAGCCAUCUGAGCUCCUUGGACAAUAGCUCAAAAUCUCCACUAAUACGUAAGUCGUCGAUUUUAAGCACCCUAAGAUUUAUCAUUUUCUGAAAUGCUUUGGUGUUCAGCUUCACACCCUUUAAUGCAUGUCGUUCUACCACCAAUAUUUCUACAUUUUCAGAACCCUACAGUUUAGUAAGAAGAAAAGUACUAUAAGACCAUGUUAAGUAUGAUAAAUUAAGAAAGAGAAAUGCUUUAUACAAAUUGAAGGUCAAACAAAGAGAAUAAAUUAUGUACCAAUAAAAAUAAAUUUACACAUUAUAUCCAACUAAAGGAUAUUUAUUUGAUAAUUUUGUCUUUGAUAGUUUGUUUAGACUUCAGUAAAUGUUCAUUUCAAGUACAGAAUGGUUCAAACGUCUAAAGAUACUUACUAGCCGGAGAAGAUUUAAGCACAAAUGCAUAAAUUAUAAGCAAAUGUAUAUCAAUAUAAAAGAAAAAAAGAAGAAGAAGUAUAACCAAGAUAAAGAUAAUGAAAUUUACUGACUUUAUUUCCUUGUAGAACAUCAAUGACUUCUUGAGGGUUGAACAAUCUACUCCGUUUUCCAGGGUCUUGAGAUUCCAUGCGAACGAUUUCUCUUCCCAUUUCCUGCACUAGAUCAUGCAUCACCAAACUAUGCCGAUCCCUUUGGAGCAAGUUCCUUUGGACUAAGGUUGAAAUUGCACUUUCAGAAUAAAAACCACACGCAUUUAAUGUUUUGGUAACUUCAUCCUCAUACCAACCAUGGAAGGCACAUGCGAUAUCAAGGAAAACACUCUGAGUAUUGACAUCAAGUCCAUCAAAGCUUAUCUUGAGAAUCUUUUGAAUACCACCAUGAGGAAUUGCUUUUAGUUUUUUGAACUCGUAUCUCCAUUCUUUAACGGAUCUCCCUUGCAGAUGCGACCCCAAUGUCACAAGAGCUAAUGGUAGCCCGCAUGAAUAUUUUAUUAUGUCUUGUGCCAGAUCAACAUAUUCUUGUGGUGGAGAAAAACAGUUAAAAGCAUGACAAGAAAAAAGUUGUUGUGCUUCAUUGUCAUUUAAAAGUUUGGCCUGGUAUAGCUCACUUGUUGUAAGCCCAUAUAGCAAAUGCCCAUCUCGGGUUGUAAUAAUUACUACACUACCAAAGCCAAACCAACUUCUUUCUCUUGUUAAGGAUUCUAAUUGGCCUCUAUGAUCCACGUCAUCAAGAACAAUUAGAACCUUCUGAGACCCAAGUCUUGCUUUGAUGAGAUUAACACCUUCAGCAACACUAUCAACUUCAAAUUCCUUAGUUUUGAGGAUUUGAUUAAGUAGUUUCUCUUGAAGCUUGACUAGACCCGAUUCAUCGGUUUUUGAUCUAAUGUCAGAAAGGAAGCAACUACCAUCAAACUGUUGAAAUAUUUGAUUAUAGAUAGCUUUUGCCAAAGUUGUUUUUCCAAUUCCACCAACUCCACAUAUACCAACCAUGCGAACUUCAUGCUCACAUCCACUUUGCAGUAACACCUCUAUAUGUUUGAUAGGAGAAUCUAAUCCAAUUGGGUAAUGAGCAACAUCUAGAGGUGUCUGGUUAACCUCUUGCAGAACUUGUUUUAUAAUACUCUCAAUAAACUUUGAUUCAUGCCUACAGUUUUUGGAACAAUAAAUACUUGAGUAUUUUAAAAUAUUUGAUGAACAAAAUAAAAAUCAAUAGCCAAAAGAUAACAGAGUUUAUAGAAUGGAGAAUAUAUUCCUUGUCCCUAUCUAUAUAAAACAGUUUGAUUUGACAUAGAAUUUAAAAACUAUAGAAAUAUUUUGAAAUUUUCCAUAAUUAACCAACUUAUAAGAUUAGGCAAACGCUUAAAUUCAAAAUCUUAUAGUUGAAUUAAGAAGUCUUACCCAUCAGCAAUAUUUCUCAAAUUCCAUCCAGAUAAAUUUGCUGCUUCAGUAAGUGCAGCUUUCCACUUUUCCAUUCUUUCAGCUCCAACCAAUCGUUCCUUGUGUUUUCCAAAGCUUCGUCAAAGGAUCCAGUUUGCCUUCGCACUUGAGAAGGAUCAACAUCAUAGAAAAUAGGCAAAACUACCUGAUUUUAACCUCUCUUUGCAAUCGAGAAUUUUGACAAGUUCAUCAAGACACCAACUAGACGAAGCAUAAUUUUUGGAGAAAACAACAAUGGCAAUUCUAGAUUGUUCAAUUGCUUUGUCAAGUUUGUUUGAAAUGACGUCUCCCUUUCUCAAUUCCUCAUCAUCUAUGAAAGUAUUAACUCCGACUUGACACAAUCGAAAAUAAAAAUGACCUGUGAAGUUUUUGCGAGUAUCUUCACCUCUAAAACUCAGAAACACAUCAUAAGAGAAGUUGGAAGAAGAAGAUGAUUCUCCUUGAGUAUUCAUAUUUGAUGACAAUAUAUGGAAUAAUUAGGCGAUUUUUAGUUGAAUGAAAGAAAGAUGAGUGAAGCAGCUACAGGUAAUAAUUUGUUCCUGGAAACCCAAUUUUGGGUCAACUCAUUUACAAUCCCUAAAAAAGUUAAUCCCUAGAUAGUUCACGUGUCUAUAUUUUAAAAGUAGAUAUAUUGACAUAAAUUUAGAUGGUAAAAAGUACUCCUUUUCUCUUUAAUUAUUUCUUCAUUUUUAAUUUGAUAGACCUAUUAAGAAAACUGUAACUUGCAUCUAGUUAAAAAGAAUGUUGAAAUAUUGAGUUUUAUGAAUUUGAUUUUAUUUUACUUUCUACAAAAGUUGUGUGAUCAUUUGGUAAUGGCCAUUACUAUUGCUCAAAGUUUUUAAACAUGAAAUAUAACUAAUACGAUAAUAAUUUUAAUAUAGCUUACUAAAAUAUUCAAGAUAAUAAAUGGAGAUGAUUAAAGUUUUUGGUCAAAAUCAUCCUCAAACUAUAGUCUAGAUUUUGGAUACAUCCUUGCAUUAUUAUACUGAACGAAAAACAUCAUUCAUCUAUCUAAAAAGUUUCAAUAGUCAUCCUUCUGUUAAUUUUUGUCAAAAACUACCGUCAAAACAUGUGUCAAGCAUGUGGCUUUUCCUCUAAAUCUCCUAAUUUUAAUCGUCUUCUGCACUAUAUUUUGAGCUAUUGUACACUCCCUCCGAUCAUGUCUCCUCGAGAAGUACUUGUUAAAUUAUUCUAUUGUAUCUUAUAUUAACUUUAAUCAAGUAAAUUAUUACAAAGUAAGAUAUCAACUUAGAACAUGUUUUAACUGUAACUGUUAGAGGUCGUUUGGUAGAGUGUAUUAGGAAAAAUAACGCAUGCAUUAGCAUUGUGUAUUACUAGUACCUUGUUUGGUACUCUUUUCCAACCUAUGUAUAACUAAUGCUUGCAUUAGUUAUACACUCUGAUCUAUUGUGUAUUAAGGUGUGUAUUGCUAAUACCAUGGAUUUCUAGGUAUUAGCAAUGCAAUGGUUUUAAUGCAUGCAUUAGAUUAACUAAUGACAAAACUACCCUCUAAGCCUAAUAAUAAUAAUAAUAAUAAUUAUAAUAAUAAUAAUAAUUAUAAUAAUAAUAAUAAUUAUAAUAAUAAUAAUAAUUAUAAUAAUAAUAAUAAUUAUAAUAAUAAUAAUAAUUAUAAUAAUAAUAAUAAUUAUAAUAAUAAUAAUAAUUAUAAUAAUAAUAAUAAUUAUAAUAAUAAUAAUAAUUAUAAUAAUAAUAAUAAUUAUAAUAAUAAUAAUAAUUAUAAUAAUAAUAAUAAUUAUAAUAAUAAUAAUAAUUAUAAUAAUAAUAAUAAUUAUAAUAAUAAUAAUAAUUAUAAUAAUAAUAAUAAUUAUAAUAAUAAUAAUAAUUAUAAUAAUAAUAAUAAUUAUAAUAAUAAUAAUAAUUAUAAUAAUAAUAAUAAUUAUAAUAAUAAUAAUAAUUAUAAUAAUAAUAAUAAUUAUAAUAAUAAUAAUAAUUAUAAUAAUAAUAAUAAUUAUAAUAAUAAUAAUAAUUAUAAUAAUAAUAAUAAUUAUAAUAAUAAUAAUAAUUAUAAUAAUAAUAAUAAUUAUAAGUUGAAGAUAAACUAACAGAAGGAUGAGUAUGCAAUUUUUGGGUAAGAUAGAGGGAUGUUUCUUAUCCAUGAUUAUAUUAGAAUGAUGUACUUUAGAUUUGUGCCAUAGUUGAGAGAUGAUUUCAGUUAAAAAUUUAAAAUACUUUAAUUAAAAUUAAUACGAUUUCUUACCUACUUCCUAAUUGGGAACUUUGUAUUUAUGAUAAAGAAGUAUAAAAAAAUUAUCCCGAACCCAACCAAUAAAUGUUUUUUUAUAAAAUUUAGAACCUAUAGUUUUUUAAUCUUCCAGGGUCCCAUUUUUCUAUGGAUUGAAUCAUCAUAAUAUUUUAUGACAAAAUACUGUAAAAUGGUGUAUGAUUGUAUGGCAUAUAUACCAUUUGUAUAUUCCCCAAAAUCAAUGAUAACCAUUUGUCUCUAACUUUAAUUUUGAAUUGUACUAAUUGAAUAUAUUAAUUGUACAAUACACAUUUAUUUAGUUCAAAGAUUUCCUCUUUGUACUUUAAGCUUCGGAAUGUAUUGUUUUCCUCAUUUUAUGAAGUGUUAUUAGAAAAAAAAAAAAAAAAAGCAUAAUACAUAAACAUGUGAUAUUUAAAUUUGGUCUUAGUUAAAUUAUCCAAUUUAUAAAAUGAUCAUUUAGACUCUUCCAAAAAUUAUUUGUUACGUUAAUGUAGGAUGUCCAUGAGAUACAUUGAGGCCAAGUUGGAGUGUUUAGUUGUUAGUUGAUAGCAAGUUAAAAUAUCUAGACUUGCACUUUCAAAGUUAGAGACUGAUUUUAUGUUGUUUUUUAUUUGUGUGUCUAAUUAUGAUGUUUUAUUCAUAUGGUUUUGAUUUGUGAAUGAAUUUUGAUUUUGCUCAUGUUAUUGUUGAUGGAUUCAUUUUCAGUCACUACUUAAUUAGUUACUAGAUGUGGAUUAAGAUUUUGAGUUUGUAAAUUCUAGAUCACAAUCGAUCUUUUUUGAAGUUUGUUGGAAUGUCAUAACAUAAAUACAUGAUUUGAAUCAAAGUUAUUGAGUUUGAUCAAACCCGUAGAUCCUAUACACGGUGGAUGAGAGAAUUAGAAAUAAUUGGACAAAAUUCAUUUAGGAGUCAUUUGCAAAUGAGAUUGUAUUUGGAUGAGAAUUUUGAAUAUAUUACAUGUUGAUAGUAGUGUCUGAGGUGUUAUAUACAAAUACUUUUAGAACAAACUUUUUUCUUACAUAACGAACACAAAAAGCAAGUAAGAAACUGUAACAUCCGGUAAUUUGAAAUAACUAUGAAGAAGCUUGAAAUUGGAAAUAGUCAUUUUUGGAAAGAAUUCAAAAAUCUGGAAAUUUAGCUAAGUAUGGAAAAAGUGAGUUUUUGGUCAACUUCGAACAGUCAUAACUCCUAGCUCAGGAUGAGUUAGGUGUAUUUCCAGUUAUGUUUGCGAAUCCCUUGGAAUGAUCUUUCCAACGCCGCUGAGUUUGCUCGAUUCCGAGUUCGUAUGAGUGAGUUAUGCCCUUUGGAAGUUGGGCUGUUGGCAUAGGGAAGUUCAUCCGAAUUAGUAAGGGUAUUUUGGUCUUUUCCCUAACCAUUUCUUUUGGUUAUAUUAAGGGUCUAGGAUGAUAAAAAAAUCAGUUUUCCCUUUUAAAAGUGAGAGUUAGGGUUCUUGAGAGAAAAGGAGAGAAGAGGAGAAAGAGAAGAAGAAGCAAAGUUCGUCAAGAUCGUCGUGGUUUUCGUCGGGGGUGAUCCCUAUUAAGGUAUGUGAGAUCAUAGUGUUGGGUUGGUUCAUUCCCCCACACGCCAAACUCGUUUUAAUUUCCGAGAAAAGAUUGGUUGUGUUUGUUGAAGAUUUGGUUAUGUUUGUUGAAGUUUGUGCCUGGUUGUGUUUGUUGAAGUUUCUUGUUGGUUUGGUACAUGUUUCCGGUUGUGUUUUCGAGUUGAAUCUAUUGUAUGUUGAGGGGUUUUAGGAUUCUAAGUGUUUGGGGCUGGAACCUUUGAAGUUAAGGUUGUUUAGAGUUGGAAAAACAAGGGAGAAAAGUCGAGUUUUUUGGGGAAAGGGCUGGCGCGUUGAGCCAGCCAGCACGCCUAAAAAGGGAUUUUGAACUUCCACCCUUGGGGCGGCGCGCCAUGCAGAGCGCCCCACCAGCCCUUCUGAACUUUGAGGGCUGGCGCCCCGCGCCUCUCAGAGCGCCAAGGACGCCAAGUCUUCCCAUUCAUUCCCCACUUUUUCAUACAUGUUCCUUAGCAAUGUACCUAUGUUUUAUAGUUGUUUUCAACACUCCAAGGUACGUCUAAACAUCAAGAACUCAUCCAUAAACAUGAGAUCUUUACCCUUGAAUUCAUAAUCCGAUUCGAGGAAAGUUCGGACCAAAGUCAAGUGAAGUUAGAGUCAAGCUUAGAAGUUAAGAAGUAAGUCGAAGCAAGUCUUUAAAGUUUUUCAAGAGUCUUUAUUGAACGUUUUAACUUCAUUUUAAGACUCAAGUUUCAAGGUGAGUAAAGAGUAUAGAGUUUCAAGUUAAGUAAAGAGUAUAGAGUUUCAAGUUGAGUAAAGAUUAUAGAGUUGAGUUCAUUUCUCAAGAGUUAUUAGGGAACUAAGUAUUCCCAAAGAAGUUUAGAAAUGUUUUCACAUUUGAGUAAGAAAGGAACAAUGAUUUCCAAAAGAGCCUUUGGGCUAGUUUUCAAGAAAAAGAAACAUCGAUUCCAAGUGAGCCUUUGGGCUAGAUUUUGAGCAAUUAUCUCAAACUAAAGAAAGAUGUGUUUAAAACACUUAUGAGCUAAAGUAUAUUUUGGGAGUAGUCUUGAGCACUGAAUUGGGGACACGAGUUCAUAUUAACUCAACUCUCCAUAAGAACCAUGUAGCCAACAUGGGAGUUAACGGGUCAUACUUUUUAGAUGAACCCGUAAAGUUAAGCUAGUGGAUCCACUUAGUAAAGUUAGCUUGUUAACGAGUCAUACUUUUUAAAUAAUCACGUAAGAUUAAGCUAGUGGAUCCACUAAGUUAAGUAAGGUCCUAUAUCACGGCAAGGUAUAGGAUGUUCCUUGGCCAACGUGAGGUAAAACGUUGUAUCAUCACUAGGGCUCAUAGUGGUGGUUGUCGGUUAAAGAAUCUCCUACUAAAGUUAUAUUACUUUUAUAUAAGUAAAGUUGAGUUUGUUAUUGUUUUAUCCUUAACGAACUAAGUGGUUUACACUGUUUUUACAAGCUUUAUAUAUUGCAUGUGUCUUAUUGCUUUAUAUUGAGUUCGGUUGUUCAUGAGUCGAACAGAGCUAAGGUAAGAGUUCCUUUGUAUUCCUUUCAAGCUUAAGUUGUUGUUAGCUUCCCAGCUCGCAUACUCGUACAUUCAAUAUACUGAUGCCAGUUUGACUGCAUCUUAUUAUGAUGCAGACGCAGGUACCCAGGAUCAGCAUCCAGCACGCCGUUGAUCCAGCUGAGCACUCCAGAGUCAGUGGUGAGCCUCUUUACUUUCCGGAGGACUCUAUUAUUUCGUUUUCCUAGUUUUGUUUUAUUAGGAUGUUGCGGGGUCUGUCCCAACAUCCAUCUCAGUGUUAUAGAAGCUGCAUAGACAGUCAGUCAGUUAGUAUUGAGUCUCUCAUCUAUGUAUAUAUGUAAAUAUUCUAUUUUGAGACACGAGUUGCCUUUUGGCCAGAUUUUAUCAGUUAGGUUGUUUUAUGACCUUUCAUUGCAUUGAGUUAUUCUGUCGAGUUAAGUUUCCACUGAGUUAAGAAAGUUGGGCCAAGGGUUUGCUUGGGGCCAGCAAUGGUCUUCAAGUGCCAGCCACGUCCAGGGUGUAGACUUGGGGCGUGACAAUCUCUUUUAAGAAAAAGAUGAGUUUUGCGAAAGAGUUUCUAAAACAUGAUUAGUAUGACAAUCGAGUAUGUUAUCAAUGUUUAAACAGUAUGGUCUCUAGAUAUACCAUCAAUGUUUAUGAAGUAUGACUUCUCGAGUCAUCAAUGAUCAUAUUAAAAUAUGGUUUUGAUAUGUUUCUUUUUUUUUAAAACAGUUUUCAAGAGCAAUUACCUCUUUUAAGAGGGUAGUUUUGAGUAAUUUUCUCAAACUAAAUAAAGAAGUUUGUUUUAAAGCUUAUGAGCUAAAGUAUAUUUUUGGGAGUAGUCUUGAGCACCGAAGUGGGUAUACGAGUUCAUAUUAACUCAACUCUCCAUAAGAACCAUGUGGCCAACAUGAGAUUUAACGGGUCAUACUUUUUAAAUGAUCACGUAAGUUAAGCUAGUGGAUCCACUAAGUUAAAGUUAAAGUAAGGUCCUAUAUCACGGCAAGGUAUAGGAUGGUCCUUGGGCAACGUGAGGUAAAACGUUGUAUCAUCACUAGGGCUCAUAGUGGUGGUGAUCGGUUAGAGAAACUCCCAUAGUAGAAAUGGUUCCUCGAGGGGUUCUGCUUAGUAUGGAUGGGGGUAUGGGACUUCACUCAUACAUUGCACAAGUAGACCUUGAAAGGAAGCAUGGUAUUUUAUGAUAUUAUAANNNNNNNNNNNNNNNNNNNNNNNNNNNNNNNNNNNNNNNNNNNNNNNNNNNNNNNNNNNNNNNNNNNNAUGGGGGUAUGGGACUUCAUUCAUGCAUUGCACAAGUAGACUUUGAGAGGGAGCGUGAUAUUUUUAUGAUAUUAUAAAUGUGAUUUUUGACGUCAUGUUUUAAUAGUUUUACAAGCUUUAUAUAUUGCAUGUGCGUUAUUGCUUUAUAUUGAGUUUGGUUAUUCAUGAGUGUCUGUCCCAACAUCCAUCUCAGUAUGUUAGUGGCUUCAUAGACAGUCAGUCAGUUAGUAUUGAGUCUCUCAUCUAUGCAUAUAUAAAUAUUCUAUUUUGAGACGAGUUGCCUAUUGGCCAGAUUUUAUCAGUUGGGUUGCUUUAUGACCUUUCUUUGCAUUGAGUUAUUCUGUUGAGUUAGGUUUCCGCUGAGUUAAGAAAGUCAGGCCAAGGGUUCACUUGGGGUCAGCAAUGGUCUUCGAAUGUCGGUCCCGCCCAGGGUGUAGGCUCGGGGCGUGACAGAAACCUACUUAUUCUCCGAAAAAGCAUUUUUCAAAAAGACAUUUUAGAGGCAUUGUUAUCAUUUGGUAGAUCCAGGUUCAUGGCCUAUUUCUAUGGAACACAUUCUCCAUAGUACCGAACACAGUCUCAGAACUUUGUUUGUUGAUAUCCACUGUUAUGGACCUCACUUGUGGAAUUUCAUUGGAUGUGUUGUUGAUGUUUGAGUUGAUAUGCCGUGCUGAAAAUCUUUGUGGGUAGGAGGGAGUAUAAGAAUGAUCCACAACUCCCGGCAACGAUGUAAUAAGAAAUUUGUUUGUUAUGUAUAAAAGAAUUAUCCCGAACCUGGCCUUUUUUCAUAAAAUUCAGAACCUAUAAUUUUUUAAUCUUCCCGGGGUCCCCUUUUUCUAUAGAUUGAAUUAUCAUAAUAUUUUAUGACAAAAUAUUGUAAAGGUGUAUGAAAUGGUAUAUUGCUCAAAAUCAUGGUAAUACCAUUUAUUUAUAACUUUAAAAUUUUGAAUUGUACUAAUUGAAUAUAUUAAUUUCACAAUGUACUUUUAUUUAGUUCAAAGUUUUCCUCGUUGUACUUUAAGCUUUGGAGUGUAAUGUUUUUCCGCAUUUUAUGAGGUGCUAAGAUUAGAAAAAGGCAUAAUACAUGAAUAGACGAUAUUCAAAUUUGGUCUUAAUUAAAUUCUCCAAUUUAUAAAUUGAUCACUUAGACUCUUCCAAUAAUUAUUUAUUACAUCAAUGUAGGGUGUUCACGAAAUACGAGAUACAGUGAAGCCAAAUUAAAAUAUUUAGAUGUACACUUCCACAAGAAGGUUAACCAAAAUGAAAGGGAAGUUUCCCAACAUAUUUUUUCUUAGAUAUGUCUCAUUCACUUUUACCUUUACUUUUACUUUUACGGUUACUCUUUUUUUUGUGUGUUAUAUUUGAAUUUGACAUACCACUAAAAAUAUUAUUGGGACUUCUUUUAUAUUUGUCCUUUCUUAUUGAGUAUGCUAAAGUAUACACUUAAAUUUGUAUAAAAUUAAAUAAAUAGACAUGGCGUCUUACAUGAAAAUUUGUGUCCUAUAUGUAUUACGUCACAUAAAAUGAGUAUGUCUACUUGUUCAAUUUUAUACAAGUUUAAGUGUUUAUUUGUACACAUCUAAAGUUGGAGGACAUAGAUGUCAGCAAAAACCAAGUUAAAUGACAUAUAUUUUUUUUUAUAUCUUUAGAAAUAUUCAAAAGAAUAAUAGUGAAAAGUAAAUUUUGAUUUUUGUCUUUAAAUUUAAGCGGUACAAACUUCUUUUCUUAUACAACUAGGAUAACAGUUCUCUCUUGAUAUGUCACCUCUUUCACAUUAAUUGUCGUCCUAACUCUUUGUUUAAACUUCUUUGUUGGCAUCUCAAAGUCAAUCAUUCUUUGAAUCUCUUUCACAUUUUUAAGUGAAUUGAAAUAAAUGGACAAAAUUCAUUUAGGAGUCAUUUGCAAAUCAGAUUGUAGUUGGAUGAGAAUGUUGAAUAUUACAGAUUGAUAGUAGUGUCUAAGGUGACUGUUAUAUACAAAUACUUUAAGAACAAACUUUUUUCUUACAUAACGAACGCAAGAAAAUAAGUAAGAAAUCUACUUAUUCUCCGGAAAAACAUUUUCCAAAAAGACAUUUUAGAGGCAUUGUUAUCAUUUGGUAGAUCCAGGUCCAUUGCCGAUUUCUAUGGAACACAUUCUCCAUGGUUCCGAACACACUCUCAGAACUUUGCUCGUUGAUAUCCACUGUUACGGACCUCACUUGUGGAAUUUCAUUGGAUGUGUUGUUGUUGUUUGAGUUGAUAUGCCAUGCUGAAAGUCUUUGUUGUUGUUUGAGUUGAUAUGCCAUGCUGAACGCUUUAUAUGGGCAACAGUAACAGCGAAGUGUUCAAGCUCAUGUGCAUCGCAAAGGCGGCAAACAAACCAGAGAACCAUUCCUAAGAACUUGUUAUUAUGUACUGUGGGCAUAGUCAAACAAAUAAGAUAAAAGAAUUUACUGACUUUAUUUCCUUGUAGAACAUCUCGGACUUAUUGAGGUUUGAACAAUCUACUCAAUUUUCUAGAGUCUCGAGGUGAUUCCAUACGAACAAUUUCUCUUCCCAUAUCUCGCACUAGAUCAUGCAUCACCAAAUAACGCCAAUCCCUUUGGAGAAAGUUCCUUUGGACUAAGGUUGAAAUUGCACUUUCAGAAUAAAAACCACACGCGUUUAAUGUUUUGAUAACUUCAUCCUCAAAAAAUUCAUGGAAGGCACACGCAAUAUCAAGGAAAACACUUUGAGUAUCACAAUCAAGUCCGUCAAAGCUUAUCUUGAGGAUCUUUUGAAUAUCACAAUGAGGAAUUGCUCUUAGUUUUUUGAACUCGUAUCUCCAUUCUUUAACGGAUCUCCCUCACAAUCAAGUCCGUCAAAGCUUAUCUUGAGGAUCUUUUGAAUAUCACAAUGAGGAAUUGCUCUUAGUUUUUUGAACUCGUAUCUCCAUUCUUCUACGGAUCUCCCUUGUAAAUGUGACCCCAAUGUCACAAGAGCUAACGGUAGCCCACCUGAAUAUUUGAUUAUGCUUUGUGCAACCUCAACAUAUUCUUGUGGCGGAGAAGGACUACUAAAAGCAUGACAAGAAAAAAGUUGUUGAGCUUCAUCUUGAUUUAAAUGUUUUGCCUUGUAUCUCUCGUUUUCUCUAAUCCGAGAUAGCAAAUGCUUGUCUCGGGUUGUAAUAAUUAUUAAACUACCAGAACCAAACCAACUUCUUUCUCUUGUUAAGGAUUCUAAUUGGCUCAUAUAAUCCACGUCAUCAAGAAUAAUUAGAACCUUCUUUGACCCAAGUCUUGCUUUGAUUAGAUUGAUGCCUUCAGCAACACUGGUAACUUUGACGUCCUUAGUUUUGAGAAUUUGAUUUAGUAGUUUUUCUUGUAACUUGACUAAACCAAAUGCUUCAGCUUCUGAUCUAACAUCUGAAAGGAAGCAACUAAUAUCAAAGUGUCGAAAUAUUUGAUUGUAGAUAGCUUUAGCCAGAGUUGUUUUUCCUAUUCCACCUACGCCAUAUAUACCAACCAUGCGAACUUCAUCUACACAUCCUUUUUGGAGUAACAACUCUAUAUCUUCGACACGAGAAUCUACUCCAACAGGAUGCCAAGCAAUAUCUAGAGGUGUCUGGUUUACCUCUAGUAGAACUUGUUUUACAAUACUUUCAAUAAAUUUUGAUUCAUGUCUGCAUAUUAGCAAAAACAAAAGUUAGAAUAAAAAAAACAACUUUGAUGUGUGGAAAAAAAAUAAUUGAUAACCAACUUAUGACUUUUGACUGAUAAGUCAGUUUGACCAGUUUAUAAAUAUUACCCGUCAACAACAUUUCGCAAAUCCCAUCCAGAUAAAUUUGCGCUAAUUCAGUAAGUGAAUCCGUCCAUUUUUUCAUUCUCUCAACCUCGAAUGAUCGCUCCUUAAGCAUAGCUAAAACUUCACCAAAGUAUCCGGUUUGCUUGCGUACAUGAGAAGGAUGAACAUCAUAGAAAAUAGGCAAAACUAUUUUCUUUAACUUGUCUUUGCAUUCGAGAAUUUUAACAAGUUCAUCAAGACACCAACUAGACGAAGCAUAAUUUUUCGAGAAAACAACAAUGGAAACUCUAGACUCUUCAAUUGCUUUCUCAAGUUCUUUUGAAAUCACCUUGCCUUUUCUUAAUUCCUCAUCAUCUAUGAAGGUAUUAAUUCCAACUUGACAUAAUCUGGAAUAAAGAUGACCUGUGAAGGUUUUUCGAGUAUCUUCACCUCUGAAACUCAGAAACACGUCAUAAGAGAAGUUGGAAGAAGUAGUUGAUGAUUCCCCUACAACAAAUUGAGUAUUCAUAUUUGAUGACUAAUAUAUGGAAGAAUGAGUAGCUAUCUAUAUAAUAUACCAUGCACAUGCUAUGGUUUUUUCUUGGUAACUUAACUAAUGCUAUAUAUUCUUUAAUUUAUUUUGUACAAUUAUUCUUCAUUAAAUUUUGUUAAUUGGGACUUUUUUUUUAAUGAUUCUUUACCUUUUGUCUCAUCUUUAAUUUGUUAAAGACUUGAAUGAUAAAAAGUAAGAUUCUUUCUUCCUUGAAAACUCAAAAGUUCAUCUCUCCACAUAAUUAUGAUGAUGUUAAGCUUGAUGUCAUAAUCUUUUAAUAAUGGAAUUGAAAACAUCGAUUUGUUCUCAAUUCACAAGUUGGAUUAAACUUUUUUUUCUUUUUUACCUAAUCAAGUAGUAUCGCAUAAAUUAUAACGAUAAUUUUUUAAAAGAAAUUAAAACACUUUGUAUUAAUAGUAAAAACUAGGAAACUUUGUCGUAAUAAAACUAACUACUAGUCUAUUGCAACUAUUAAACAAGUAAACAACUAAUAAAACUAAUUGGAUCACUCUUACUGAACCAUUGGUCUUAAUCCUAUACCUAUCAUACUGAUAUAGAGGUGAAUUCAGAACUUAAAAUUUAUGAAUUCUUAUAAAAAAUAAAUAAAUUUAUGAAUGAUAAUAAUUGAGUUCAUAAUCAAAUUAUAUUAAUUACUUAAUGAUUUUCUUAGUACAUAUAAAUAAUAUGAAUAAAAUCUAUUGAGUUCACACUAACCUCUCUAUAAUAAUCAAAUCAGUAAUUUUGAUCCAAAUUGAACUUUGUAUUUAUGAUAAUAAAUUUGUUUGUUAUGUGUAAAAAUAAUAUCCGGAACCCGAUCCGACCAGUAAAUGCUUUUUAUAAAAUUGAGAACCUAUAAAUAUAAAAUCGAAAUGCCAGUAGCAGUCAUAGUAUUUGGAACAAAGAAAAGCAAGGGAAUAACAAACCAUAUCUUCUGCUCCAACUUCACUUUCUUUAUAGUAUUUUUGAAAGGAAAAAAGGGAAUAGAAUUAAAUAUUAUCAGAAUGCCAACCAAAUAUUGAUUUUGUGCUCUAUCCUUACUGUGGGAAAAAAAAGAAAAUGUAAUUUAUUUGUGCAGUUUUUUAAUCUUCCAGGCGUCCCAUUUUUCUAUGGAUUGAAUUAUCAUAAUAUUUUAUGACAAAAUACUGUAAAAUGGUGUAUGACUGUAUGGGAAAUAUAAUAUUUGUAUAUUCCUCAAAAUCAUGAUAAUACCAUUUGUUUCUAACUUUUUAAUUGUACUAAUUGAAUAGAUUAAUUGUACAAUAUACUUUUGUUUAGUUCAAAGUUUUCCUCUUUGUACUUUAAGCUUGUGUGUCACGUCAGUAUAGGGUGUCCACGAGACACAUUAAGGGUGAGUUGGAGUGUUUAGCUGUUAGUUGAGAUGUCUAUAUGUACACUUUUAAUUAGUUACGCUUGCGAAAUUUUAAUUGGAUGACAAAACUAGGAUCGAAGUUUCGAGUGGUUAGCAUCUGACGGAUGAAAAAAAAAUCUAAAUGAAAAAUACUUUUUAGCGAAUCAGCUUGUAGUUGGAUGAGAAUUUUGAAUAUUACAGAUUGAUAGUAGUGUCUUAGGUGUUAUAUACAAAUACUUUAUGAACAAACGUUUUUCUUACAUAACGAUCACAAGAAAAUAAGUAAGAAACCUACUUAUUCUCCGGAGAAACAUUUUCCAAAAAGACAUUUUAGAGGCAUUGUUAUCAUUUGGUAGAUCCAGGUCCAUGGCCUACUUCUAUGGAACACAUUUUCCAUGGUACAUAACACAUUCUCAGAACUUUGCUCGUUGAUAUCCACUAAUACGGACCUCACUUGUGGGAUUUCACUGGAUGUGUUGUUGUUGUUUGAGUUGAUAUACCAUGCUGAAAGUCUUUGUGGGUAGGAGGGAGUAUAAGAAUGAUCCACAACUGCCGGGAAAGAAGUAACAUUACCAUGUUGAUCUACAUAUAAUAGACGUACUCCUAUCUUCUUUACAACGGCUCCGCCAGUGCGAUCCUCUACUGUUAUCUGUUCCCCGCCUUUGAUCUUCAGGCCAUUAAAAGGUCUAUUGUUUGAGUAAGAGAAGUAAUAUACACGUGAUAUUUCUCCCUGACUGUCAGGUAUAUUAAAAUGCGAACUCCACCAAAAAGUUGAAGACUCUACAUGGGCAACAGUAACAAUGAAGCUUUGAAGAUAGGAGGAUACAUUGCCAAAGUGGCAAACAAACCAGAGAACCAUUCCCAAGAACUUAUUAUUAUGUACUGUGGGCAUAGUCAAACAGAUAGAUGGAGCUGUUACUUUAUUGCUGCACCAAUCUGGAAUCUCAUUGCUUUCGAGAUUAAUUUGUAAUGACAUCUUCAUCAGACAAAUUAAGACACAAUUAGAUCAUUAAUUAUUAAUGUGAUACGAGGGAGAGAUCAGAGAGGGAGAGGGACUAACCUUAUACCGUUGAUGUUUUCUAGACGGAAUUGAUAGAGCAUGGGCACUAAAGAAGCCUUCAUUGAAUGGAUUCUGCAGACGAGUACAAUUAAUCAUGUCCACCUUCUCUAUUGAAGGGAGGUAGUCCGACCCUGUAAUCUUGACCAGUUUUUGGCAAUUCCUAAGUUCAACAAUUGCAAGGUGCUCUAAAUUUGAUAUUGACGGGAGUGUUUGAAGGUUCUCACAAUCAUUCAAAUAUAAGGACGUCAACAAUGGUAACUUGGAAAAAUCAAAGGGUAGAUAGAGGAAACUGUUGCCGCUCAAAUCUAAAAAAUAUAAGUUGGAUAAACUCCCAAUAUCCCUAGGAACAUCAGCCUCCGAGAAACCACAAUAUGAAAGGCGUAGAUUCAAAAUAAAUUUUGACAAGGACACUAUGGGGCGUACUCUUCUUUGAGAAAAACUCCUUUUGGCCUUUAAGUAUUGGCCUCCCAUUUCCAAUUCUACAAGAUUUCGUAGCAUUUCAACAGAUCCAGGCAAUUGUUUUAUACCUGUUUCACGUGCAUUAAGAUAUCUUAGGCUUUGCAUAGCUCCAAUGUUAACUGGCAGUGUUUGUAAAGACGAGCAGUCAUUAAUGUACAAGGUUUUAAGGGAUUUUAGCUGGCAUAUGCUGCUCGGAAGAUCCGUAAUAUUUUUUGCAACCAUUCAAUUGAAGAUCAGUUAGUCUGUCCAAAUUUCCUAUUGAUGGAUGGAUCUCCUUCAGACUUGAAGCAAUUCUCAAGCAACAAAGUCUCGAGACUUCGUGAACCGUUGAAGUUUGGAGUUUUUCUGAGGCGCUUGCAAUCAGAGAGAUCCAGCAUUUUCAAAUUUCUACAAUACUAAAAGUAAACAAAAUAUUGUUUCAAUUAAGAUUUUCUUUCCCUUAAACAUUACACAUAAAUUUGCAAAAUUGAGUAACGAACCUGCAAAUUCAAACCAAAUUCUAGGAUAUUGCUCCCUUUCAUAUUCAGAAAUACAAGUUUCUCAGAUGGAAAAUUUGAUGGUACACAUUUUAAAGGACAUCCUUUCCAAGACAGCCAUCUGAGCUCCUUGGACAAUAGCUCAAAAUCUCCACUAAUAUGUAAAGUCGUCGAUUUUUAAGCACCCUAAGAUUUAUCAUUUUCUGAAAUGCUUUUGGUGUUCAGCUUCACACCCUUUAAUGCCUGUCGUUCUACCACCAAUAUUUCUACAUUUUUAGAACCCUACAGUUUAGUAAAAAGAAAAGUACUAUAAGACCAUGUUAAGUAUGAUAAAUUAAGAAAGAGAAAUGCUUUAUACAAAUUGAAGGUCAAACAAAUAGAAUAAAUUAUGUACCAAUAAAAAAAAAAUUACACAUUAUAUCCAACUAAAGGAUGUUUAUUUGAUAAUUUUGUCUUUGAUAGUUUGUUUAGACUUCAGUAAAUGUUCAUUUCAAGUACAGAAUGGUUCAAACAUCUAAAGAUACUUACUAACGGGAGAAGAUUUAAGCACAAAUGCAUAAAUUAUAAGCAAAUGUAUAUCAAUAUGAAAAAAGAAGAAGAAGAAGUAUAACCAAGAUAAAGAUAAUGAAAUUUACUGACUUUAUUUCCUUGUAGGACAUCAAGGACUUCUUGAGGGUUGACCAAUCUACUCCGUUUUCCACUGUCUCGAGGUGAUUCCAUGCGAACGAUUUCUCUUCCCACAUCCUGCACUAGAUCAUGCAUCACCAAACGACGCCGAUCCCUUUGGAGCAGGUGUCUUUUGACUAGAGUUACAAUUGCACUUUCACAAUACAAACCACAGGCGUUUAAUGUUUUGGUAACUUCAUCCUCAUCACAUCCAUGGAAGGCGCACGCAAUAUCAAGGAAAACAUUCUGAGUAUUGUCAUCAAGUCCAUCAAAGCUUAUUUGGAGAAUCUUUUGAAUAUCAAAAUGAGGAAUUGUUCUUAGUUUUUCGAACUCGUAUCUCCAUUCUUCAACGGAUCUCCCUUGUAAAUGUGACCCCAAUGUCACAAGAGCUAAUGGUAGCCCACCUGAAUAUUUAAUUAUGUUUUGGGCCAGCUCAACAUAUUCAUGUGGUGGAGAAAGACUGUUAAAAGCAUGACAAGAAAAAAGUUGUUGUGCUUCGUUGCCAUUUAAAAGUUUGGCCCGGUAUAUCUCAUUUGUUGUAAGACCAUAAAGCAAAUGCUCGUCUCGGGUUGUAAUAAUUAUAACACUACCAGAACCAAACCAAUUUCUUUCUCUUGUUAAGGAUUCUAAUUGGCUUCUAUGAUCCACAUCAUCAAGAACAAUUAGAACCUUUUGGGACCCAAGUCUUGCUUUGAUGAGAUUAACACCUUCAGCAACACUAUCAACUUCAAAUUCCUUAGUUUUGAGGAUUUGAUGAAGUAGUUUCUCUUGAAGCUUGAUUAGACCCAAUUCUUCAGCUUUUGAUCUAACAUCUGAAAGGAAGCAACUACCACCAAACUGUAGAAAUAUUCUAUUGUAGAUGGCUUUUGCUAGAGUUGUUUUUCCAAUUCCACCAACGCCACAUAUACCAACCAUUCGAACUUCAUGCUCACAUCCACUUUGCAUUAACAACAAUAUAUCUUUGAUAGGAGAAUCUAAUCCAAUUGGAUAAUGAGCAACAUCUAGAGGUGUCUGGUUGACUUCUUGCAGAACUUGUUUUAUAAUACUUUCAAUAAAUUUUGAUUCAUGCCUACAGUUUUUUUAGCAAAAACAGUAAAAAACAAAACUUUGAUAUUUGAAAAUAUAUGAUGAACAAAACAAAAUCCAUAGCCAACAGAUAACAGGGAAAUCGAGGGUAGAGAAUGGAGAUUAUCAAUUACUAUUACUCCCUCGUUCCAAUUUAUGUGAUGCAGUCUGAUUUGGCACGGAGAUUAAGAAAUAUAAAAAGAAUUUGCAAUGUUCCAAAACUAACCAACUUAUAAGCUUAGGCAAAUGCUUAAAUUCAAAAUUCUAAAGUUGAAUUAAGAAGUGUUACCCAUCAGCAACAUUUCUCAAAUCCCAUCCAGAUAAAUUUGCUGCUUCAGUAAGUGCAGCUUUCCACUUUUCCAUUCUUUCAGUUCCAAUUGAUCGUUCCUUGUGUUUUGCCAAAGCUUCGCCAAAGGAUCCAGUUUGUCUUCGUACUUGAGAAGGAUCAACAUCAUAGAAAAUAGGCAAAACUAGCUGAUUUAACCUCUCUCUGCAAUCGAGAAUUUUGACAAGUUCAUCAAGACACCAACUAGAGGAAGCAUAAUUUUUGGAGAAAACAACAAUGGCAACCCUAGAUUGUUCAAUUGCUUUCUCAAGUUCAAUUGAAAUGACGUCUCCCUUUCUCAAUUCCUCAUCAUCUAUGAAAGUAUUAACUCCGACUUGACAUAAUCUGAAAUAAAGAUGACCGGUAAAGUUGUUUCUGGUAUCUUCACCUCUGAAACUGAGAAACACAUCAUAAGAGAAGUUGGAAGAAGAAGAUGAUUCUCCUUGAGUAUUCAUAUUUGAUGACAAUAAAUGGAAGAAUUAAGCGAUUUUUAGUUGAAUGAAAGAAAAGAUGAGUGAAGCAGUUACAGGUAAUUGUUUGUUCCUGGAAACUCAAUUUUGGGUCAACUCAUUUACAAUCCCUAAAGAAAGUUAAUCGAAACGAAAGGGAAGUUCCCAGCAUAUUUCUUAGAUAGUUCACGUGUCUAUAUUAAAAGUAGAUAUAUUUACAUAAAUUUAGAUGGCAAAAAGUAAUCUCUUUCUCUUAAUUAAUUACUUCUCCACUUUUGAAUUGACACACCUGAGUAUUAAGAAAACAAUAAGAAGUAGUAGAAAUAAUUAGGGAUGAUAAUGAGAUAGCGUGGAUGAAAGGUAGGGCGGAUUAAAGGUUAUAUGGGGCGGGGGCGGGGAGCUUUUAAGGUUGUAUGGGGUUGGGUGGAUGCAAAUUAAUGUGAGGCGGUGCGAUUUGUGGGUUCAUGUGAUUUUAUACGGAUUCAAAUUUAAUUUUAAUUGUAUAGGUUAUAAGAGUGAUGAAGCUUUCACGGAUAAAAAUACACAUGAUUUGGUAGUUAAACUAUUAGUAUUAGGAUUAGGAUAAAAUAAAGAGAAUAAUCUUGCCCUUUGUCUUGUAUUGUGUUAUAAUUCAUAUAAAAAAAUUUAUCUGAUUUGGAGUCUACUCAAUUUUCAAAAGAAAAAAAAAACUUUAAUUCAUGAUGUGCACUUUAUUUAUGCUUUUAUUUGCAUCUACUUAUUUUGACCCAACGAAAAUGAAUUUUGUUAUUUAUGCUCUGCAUAAAUUGCAUCUAGUUAAAAAGAAUUUUGAAAUAUUGAGUUUUAUGAAUUUGAUUUUAUUUUAUUUUCUACAAAAAUUGUGUGAUCAUUUGGUAAUGGCCAUUACUAUUGCUCAAAGAUUUUAAACAUGAAAUAUAACUAAUACAAUAAUAAUUUUAAUAUAGCUUACUAAAAUAUUCAAGAUAAUAAAUGAAAAUGAUUAGAGUUUUCGAUAAAACUCAUCCUCAAACUAUAGCCUAGAUUUUGGUUACAUCCUUGCAUUAUUAUAUUGAACAAAAAACAUCAUUCAUCUAUCUAAGAAGUUUCAAUAGUCAUCCUUCGGUUAAUUUUGGUAAAAAGUUAACUUGUUAUCGUCAAAAUAUGUGUAAAGCAUGUAGGUUUCCCUCUAAAUCUCCUAACCUAAAUCGUCUUCUCCACUAUAUUUUGAGCUAUUGCACUUUAGAUUUGUGUCAUAGUUGAAGGAUGAUUUCAGUAAAAAAUUUAAAAUAAUUUAAUUAAAAUUAAUACAAUUUCUUACCUACUUCCUAAUUGGGAACUUUGUAUUUAUGAUAAAGAAGUAUAAAAAAGUUAUCCCGAACCCGACCAGUAAAUGCUUUUUUAUAAAAUUUAGAACCUAUAGUUUUUUAAUCUUCCAGGGGUCCCAUUUUUCUAUGGAUUGAAUUAUCAUAAUAUUUUAUGACAAAAUACUGUAAAAUGGUGUAUGAUUGUAUGGCAUAUAUACCAUUUGUAUAUUCCCCAAAAUCAAUGAUAACCAUUUGUCUCUAACUUUAAUUUUGAAUUGUACUAAUUGAAUAUAUUAAUUGUACAAUAUACAUUUAUUUAGUUCAAAGAUUUCCUCUUUGUACUUUAAGCUUUGGAGUGUAUUGUUUUCCGCAUUUUAUGAAGUGUUACUAUUAGAAAAAAAGGCAUAAUACAUAAACAUGUGAUAUUCAAAUUUGGUCUCAGUUAAAUUCUCCAAUUUAUAAAAUGAUCAUUUAGAUUCUUCCAAAAUUAUUUGUUAUGUUAAUGUAGGAUGUCCACGAGAUACAUUGAGGCCAAGUUGGAGUGUUUAGCUGUUAGUUAAUAGCAAGUUAAAAUAUCUAGACGUGCACUUUCAAAGUUAGAGACUGAUUUUAUGUUGUUUUUUAUUUGUGUGUCUAAUUAUGAUGUUUUAUUUAUAUGGUUUGAUUUGUGAAUGAAUUUUGAUUUUGCUCAUGUUAUUGUUGAUGGAUUCAUUUUCAGUCACUACUUAAUUAGUUACUAGAUGUGGAUUAAGAUUUUGAGUUUGUAAGUUCUAGAUCUCAACCGAUCAUUUUUGAAGUUUGUUGGAAUGUCAUAACAUAAAUACAUGAUUUGAAUCAAAGUUAUUGAGUUUGAUCAAACCCGUAGAUCCUAUACACGGUGGAUGAGUGAAGCAGAAAUAAUUGGACAAAAUUCAUUUAGGAGUCAUUUGCAAAUGAGAUUGUAUUUGGAAGAGAAUUUUGAAUAUUACAUAUUGAUAGUAGUGUCUAAGGUGUUAUAUACAAAUACUUUUAGAACAAACUUUUUUCUUACAUAAUGAACACAAGAAAAUAAGUAAGAAAACCUACUUAUUCUCCGGGGAAACAUUUUCCAAAAAGACAUUUUAGAGGCAUUGUUAUCAUUUGGUAGAUCCAGGUCCAUGGCCUAUUUCUAUGGAACACAUUCUUCAUGGUACCGAACACAAUCUCAGAACUUUGUUCGUUGAUAUCCACUGUUACGGACCUCACUUGUGGGAUGUGUUGUUGUUGUUUGAGUUGAUAUGCCCGAAAGUCUUUGUGGGUAGGAGGGAGUAUAAGAAUGAUCCACAACUCCCGGCAAAGAUGUAACAUUACCAUGUUGGUCCAAGUAUAACAGAUGGAUCCCUAUCUUCUUUACUAGUCUCUGUCAGUUUCAUUCUUUACUGUUAUCUGUUCCCCACCUUUGAUGUUCAGGCCUUUAAAAGGUCUAUCAUUUACGGAAGAUAAGUAAUAUACACAUGAUACUUCUCCGUGACUGUUAGGUCUAUCAAAAGGCCAAAUCCACGGAAAACCUGUACUCUUUUUAUGGGCAACAGUAACAGCGAAGUGUUCAAGAUCAUGUACAUCGCAAAGGCGGCAAACAAACCAGAGAACCAUUCCUAAGAACUUGUUAUAAUGUACUGUGGGCAUAGUCAAACAGAUAGAUGGAGCUGUUACUUUAUUGCUGCACCAAUCUGGAAUCUCAUUGCUUUCGAGAUUAAUUUGUAAUGACAGCUUCAUCAGACAAAUUAAGACACAAUUAGAUCAUUAAUUAUUAAUGUGAUACGAGAGAGAUCAGAGAGGGAGAGGGACUAACCUCAUACCGUUGAUGUUCUCUAGACGGAAUUGAUAGAGCAGGGGCACUAAAGAAGCCUUCACUGAAUGGAUUCUGCAGACGAGUACAAUUAAUCAUGUUCAUCUUCUCUAUUGAAGGGAGGUUGUCCAACCCUGCAAUCUUGACCAGUUUUUGGCAAUUCCUAAGUUCAACAAUUUCAAGGUACUCUAAAUUUGAUAUUGACGGGAGUGUUUGAAGGUUCUCACAAUCAUUCAAAUACAAGGACAUCAACAAUUGUAACUUGGAAAAAUCAAAGGGUAGAUAGAGGAAACUGCUGCCGCUCAAAUCUAAAUGAUAUAAGUUGGAUAAACUCCCAAUAUCCCUAGGAACAUCAGCCUCUGAAAAACCACAAUAUGGAAGGCAUAGAAUCGAAAUAAAUUUUGACAAGGAUACUAUAGGGCGUACUCUUGUUUGAGAAAACCUCCUUUUGGUCUCAAAGUAUUGACCUCCCAUUUCCAAUUCUAUAAGAUUUCCUAGCAUUUCAACAGAUCCAGGCAAUUCUUUUAUACCUGUUUCACGUGCAUUAAGAAAUCUUAGGCUUUGCAUAUCUCCAAUGUCAACUGGCAGUGUUUGUAAAGAUGAGCAGUCAUUAAUGUACAAGAUUUCAAGGGAUUUUAGCUGACAUAUGCUGCUCCAAAGAUCAGUAAUCUUUUUGCAACCACUCAAUCGAAGACAAAUUAGUCUGUCCAAAUUUCCUAUGGAUGGAUGGAUCUCCUUCAGACUUGAGCAAUUCUCAAGCCACAAAGUCUCGAGACUUCGUGAACCGUUGAAGUUUGGAGUUUUUCUGAGGCGCUUGCAAUAAGAGAGAUCCAGCAUUUUCAAAUUUCUACAAUACUAAAAGUAAACAAAACAUAGUUUCAAUUAAGAUUUUCUUUCUCUUAAACAUUACACAUAAAAUUGCAGAAUUGAGUAACGAACCUGCAAAUUCAAACCAAAUUCUUGGAUAUUGCUCCCUUUCAUAUUCAGAAAUACAAGUUUCUCAGAUGGAAAAUUUGAUGGUACACAUUUUAACGGACAUCCUUUCCAAGACAACCAUCUGAGCUCCUUGGACAAUAGCUCAAAAUCUCCACUAAUAUGUAAGUGGUCUAUUUUAAGCACCCUAAGAUUUAUCAUUUUCUGAAAUACUUUGGUGCUUAGCUUCACACCCUUUAAUGCUUGUCGUUCUACCACCAAUAUUUCUACUUUUUUAGAACCCUGCAAUUUAGUAAAAAUAAAAGUACUAUAAGACCAUGCUUAAGUAUGACAAAUUAAGAAAGAGAAAUGCUUUAUACAAAUUGAAGGUCAAACAAAUAGAAUAAAUUAUGUACCGAUAAAAAUAAAUUUACACAUUAUAUCCAACUAAAGGAUAUUUAAUUGAUAAUUUUGUCUUUGACAGAUUGAGUGUUUAGACUUCAGUAAAUGUUCAUUUCAAGUACAGAAUGGUUCAAACAUCUAGAGAUACUUACUGGCCGGAGAAGAUUUAAGCACAAAUGCAUAAAUUAUAAGCAAAUGUAUAUCAAUAUAAAUGUAAAAAAGAAGAAGAAGUAUAACCAAGAUAAAGAUAAUAAAAUUUACUGACUUUAUUUCCUUGUAGAACAUCAAUGACUUCUUGAGGGUUGAACAAUCUACUCCGUUUUCCAGGGUCUUGAGAUUCCAUGCGAACGAUUUCUCUUCCCAUUUCCUGCACUAGAUCAUGCAUCACCAAACUAGACCAAUCAUCCCUUUGGAGCAAGUUCCUUUGGACUAAGGUUGAAUUGAACUUUCAGAAUAAAAACCACACGCAUUUAAUGUUUUGGCAACUUCAUCCUCAUAACAACCAUGGAAGGCACAUGCGAUAUCAAAGGAAAACACUCCGAGUAUUGACAUCAAGUCCAUCAAAGCUUAUCUUGAGAAUCUUUUGAAUAUCACCAUGAGGAAUUGCUUUUAGUUUUUUGAACUCGUAUCUCCAUUCUUUAACGGAUCUCCCUAGCAGAUGUGACCCCAAUGUCACAAGAGCUAAUGGUAGCCCACCUGAAUAUUUUAUUAUGUCUUGUGCCAGUUCAACAUAUUCUUGUGGUGGAGAAAAACAGUUAAAAGCAUGACAAGAAAAAAGUUGUUGGGCUUCAUUGUCAUUUAAAAGUUUGGCCCGGUAUAUCUCACUUGUUGUAAGCCCAUAUAGCAAAUGUUCAUCUCGGGUUGUAAUAAUUAUUACACUACCAGAGCCAAACCAACUUCUUUCUCUUGUUAAGGAUUCUAAUUGGCUUCUAUGAUCUACGUCAUCAAGAACAAUUAGAACCUUUUGAGACCCAAGUCUUGCUUUGAUGAGAUUAGCACCUUCAGCAACAUUAUCAACUUCAAAUUCCUUAGUUUUGAGGAUUUGAUUAAGUAGUUUCUCUUGAAGCUUGACUAGACCAGAUUCUUCAGUUUUUGAUCUAAUGUCAGAAAGGAAGCAACUACCAUCAAACUGUUGAAAUAUUCGAUUAUAGAUAGCUUUUGCCAAAGUUGUUUUUCCAAUUCCACCAACGCCACAUAUACCAACCAUGCAAACUUCAUGCUCACAUCCACUUUGCAGUAACAACUCUAUAUGUUUGAUAGGAGAAUCUAAUCCAGUUGGGUAAUGAGCAACAUCUAGAGGUGUCUGGUUAACCUCUCGCAGAACUUGUUUUAUAAUAUUUUCAAUAAAUUUUGCUUCAUGCCUACAGUUUUUGCAACAAUAAAUACUUAGGUAUUUAAAAAUAUUUGAUGAACAAAAUAAAAAUCAAUAGCCAAAAGAUAAAAGAGUUUAUAGAAUGGAGAAUAUAUUCCUUGUCCCUAUCUAUAUGACACAGUUUGAUUUGACACAAAAUUUAAGAAAUAUAGAAAGACUUUACAAUGUUCCAAAAUUAACCAAGUUAUAAGCUUAGGCAAACGCUUAAAUUCAAAAUUUAAUAGUUGAAUUAAGAAGUCUUACCCAUCAGCAACAUUUCUCAAAUCCCAUCCAGAUAAAUUUGCUGCUUCAGUAAGUGCAGCUUUCCACUUUUCCAUUCUUUCAGCUCCAACAAAUCGUUCCUUAUGUUUUGCCAAAGCUUCGUCAAAGGAUCCAGUUUGCCUUCGCACUUGAGAAGGAUCAACAUCAUAGAAAAUAGGCAAAACUACCUGAUUUAACCUCUCUUUGCAAUCGAGAAUUUUGACAAGUUCAUCAAGACACCAACUAGAGGAAGCAUAAUUUUUGGAGAAAACAACAAUGGCAACCCUAGACUGUUCAAUUGCUUUCUCAAGUUCAAUUGAAAUGACGUCUCCCUUUCUCAAUUCCUCAUCAUCUAUGAAAGUAUUAACUCCAACUUGACACAAUCGGAAAUAAAGAUGACCUGUGAAGUUUUUCCGAGUAUCUUCACCUCUGAAACUGAGAAACACAUCAUAAGAUAAGUUGGAAGAAGAAGAUGAUUCUCCUACAACAAAUUGAGUAUUCAUAUUUGAUGACAAUAAAUUAAAGAGAUUUUUAGUCAAUUUUUUGCUUAAUUAAUUAAAUAGAGAUGUGAAGCAGCUAUUUAUAUACCCACAAGUACUUGUUUGUUCCUGGAAAUUUAAUUUUGGGUCAAGUCAUUUACAAGCCCCAAAGAAGGUUUACAGAAAUGAAAGGGAAGUUUCCAAGACAUAAUAUGUCUAUUCACUUUUAUUUGUCCAGCUAUUAAAAGUAGAUAUACAAUUUACUUUCAUUUCCUUCGUAGAUUUUUACUCAUUCACACUAUUAAAAAUAAUGAUCAUUUUUAUAAUGUAUUUUUUCAUCAUAUUAAUAUGCAAAAAAUUGUAAUUUAUAAUUUUUUUAUAGUUUUUGAAUAUUUAAAUUUUUUGUUUAAAAUAUCAAAUUAAUACAAUCUAAUUUAAUUUUGAAAAUUAAUUAAAUUGACUUUCGAAAAUGACAAUAUGAUAUAAAUGAGAGAAUACCAAAAGAGCUGGCAAAUUUCCACCAAAACUUCGCAAGUGGAAAUUAUUAUUAUCUUAAAGUUAUGAACUCACAUCUACAAUUAUUAUUUAGUUUAUUAUAUUUAAAUAAAAAAGAGGAAAAGUCGGAAGUUGUAAAAUUUUAAAUGACAAGUAGAAUGUUUCAACAUGAAUUUAUGAUACUUUAAUAAGCAAUAUUCGUUCUGUAAUAAAUUAAUCGCAAAGAAUUGAUUAGGAAUUUGGUUGAAAAUAGAAAUGGUCCAAUUCAAGAUGAAACUAUUAGAAUUGACCUUUGGUGAGGAAGUAAAUUAAAUUACUCCCUUCGUCUAUUUUUAUUUGUCUAGUAUUAACUCAUGCAAUAAAUAAAACAAAAACAUGAUCGUAUUUGUUCCUGUAUUCUAACAAAAAAGUUAUAUUAUUUGUCAUUUGUUAUACUUCAGAGUCAUAUUUAUCCUUGAGACAUUAAAUCUCCAUGACCCGCCUUAAUUUAACGCAGAAUAGGACGAACACUCUUCUCCAAAGUCCAAGCUAAGACUGUUUCCAUUACUAAAAAUCAAUAAAUUACACAGUUCGAUCACUUACAAUGUUCUCUGGUAUUGUAGGUUAAUCAGAGAGACACUAUAUUCACUAUACAAAGAAAAAGUUGAUCAAUUUUUAAAACUAAGCUUUAGUGCAACUCUACAUACUAGCACUAUACAAUGGAAAAAUUGGUUACAUAAAUUAAACAAAAUUUUCUAUAGAAGCUACUGCUAUCGAAGCUCGAUGCUCCAUUGUUCAUACCUAAUAAUGGCUUUGUAGCCCUAUAAUAGUACACAUUCUACUACAUCCAUCUUCCCAUCUUCAUUGACAUCAUUUUCCUCUUCUUGUGGGCUUUAUGCUUUUCUGCAAUCCUCAGCCUCCUCUUGGCGUUUCUCAUUGGAUUGACCUUCUCUUCUUGUUUCCUCUUAUCCCUCUUCGAUUUGAUAUUCUUCCUUAUAUGACUGUAGAUUUGGACAAAAUAUGUGUUCCUAUAACAUUGCUUAUGCUCCCUCGCACUCCUUCAGCCAGUUGUUUCACGUCAUCUGUGGAGAUGAUGCAAACGUAAUGUCACGCCCCGAGCGUACACCCUGGGCAGGACCGGCACCCGGAGACCAUUUCUGGCCCCAAGCGAACCCUUGGCCUGGCUUUCUUAACUCAGCGGAAACCUAACCCAACAGAAUAACUCAAUGCAAUGCAAUAUUACAAAACAACUUAACUUAUAAAAUAUGGCCAUAAAGGCAACUCGAAUCUCAAAAUAGAAUAUUUACAUAUAUAUAUAGAUGAGAGACUCAAAACUAACUGACUGACUGUCUGUCUAUGAAGCCUCUAAAAUACUGAGAUGGAUGUUGGGACAGACCCCGCAACACCCUAAUAAGACAAAACUAAGAGAACAAAAUAACUAAGCCCUCCGGAAGCAAGGAGGCUCACACUGACUCUGGAGUGCUCAANNNNNNNNNNNNNNNNNNNNNNNNNNNNNNNNNNNNNNNNNNNNNNNNNNNNNNNNNNNNNNNNNNNNNNNNNNNNNNNNNNNNNNNNNNNNNNNNNNNNNNNNNNNNNNNNNNNNNNNNNNNNNNNNNNNNNNNNNNNNNNNNNNNNNNNNNNNNNNNNNNNNNNNNNNNNNNNNNNNNNNACAAGGAUACAAUAAGCCUGAGAUGUAUAUAGAAAUACAAUUAAACUGAUGUAUAUAAAAAAAUACAAUAAUCUCUGUGUAUGAAAAUACAAUAACUGCUGUGGGAGUUUCUCUAACNNNNNNNNNNNNNNNNNNNNNNNNNNNNNNNNNNNNNNNNNNNNNNNNNNNNNNNNNNNNNNNNNNNNNNNNNNNNNNACUUUGGCUCAUAUGUUUUAAAAACAAACUUCUUUCUUUAGUUUGAGAUAAUUGCUUAAAACCUAGCCCAAAGGCUCUCUUGGAAUCAAUGUUCCCUUUACUUUGCUCAAAUGUGAAAACAUUUAUAAACUUCUUUGGGAAUACUUAGUUCCCUAAUAGCUUUUGAGAAAUGAACUCAACUUUAUGCUCUUGACUUACUUGAAACUUGAGACUCUUUACUUAGCUUGAAACUUUAAACUCUUUACUUGACUUGACACUUGAGUCUAAAAAUGAAGUUAAAACGUUCAAUAAAGACUCUUGAACAACUUUGCAACUUGCUUACCUUGCUUAACUUCUAAGCUUAACUCUUAAUUUCUAACUUCACUUGACUUCUAACUAACUCUCCUUGAAUUGGAAUUUUGGAUUCAAGGUGUUUGAUCACAUGUUAUGGAUGAGUUCUUGACUUUUAGAAGUACCUUGGAGUGUUGGAAACAACUAGGAAACAUAGGUAUAAUACCUAGGAACAUGUAUGAAAAAAGUGGUGAAUGAAAGGGAAGGAUUGGUGUCCUUGGCACUAGGAGAGGUGCGACAGCCCAGCCCUUUGUUCCCCAAAAAUCCGACUUUUUCCCCUUGUUUCUUUCCAAUUCUAAACCCUCUCAACCUCAAGGUUUCAGCAACAACACUUAGAAUCAUAAAGACCCUUAUUAUACAAUAGAUUCAACUCAAAAAUCACAGCCGGAAAUUUGUACUAAACCAGCAAGAACUUCAACACAACACCACUACAACUUCAACAACCAAUAAAUCUUCUCUUGGAAUUAAAAACGAGUUGGUGUGUGGGGGUAUGAACCAACCAACNNNNNNNNNNNNNNNNNNNNNNNNNNNNNNNNNNNNNNNNNNNNNNNNNNNNNNNNNNNNNNNNNNNNNNNNNNNNNNNNNNNNNNNNNNNNNNNNNNNNNNNNNNNNNNNNNNNNNNNNNNNNNNNNNNNNNNNNNNNNNNNNNNNNNNNNNNNNNNNNNNNNNNNNNNNNNNNNNNNNNNNNNNNNNNNNNNNNNNNNNNNNNNNNNNNNNNNNNNNNNNNNNNNNNNNNNNNNNNNNNNNNNNNNNNNNNNNNNNNNNNNNNNNNNNNNNNNNNNNNNNNNNNNNNNNNNNNNNNNNNNNNNNNNNNNNNNNNNNNNNNNNNNNNNNNNNNNNNNNNNNNNNNNNNNNNNNNNNNNNNNNNNNNNNNNNNNNNNNNNNNNNNNNNNNNNNNNNNNNNNNNNNNNNNNNNNNNNNNNNNNNNNNNNNNNNNNNNNNNNNNNNNNNNNNNNNNNNNNNNNNNNNNNNNNNNNNNUGAUUUGUGAAAAGACCAAAAUGCCCUUAAAUUUUCCGGACGGAUUCCCUGCCAACUGCCCAACUUUCAAAGGGCAUAACUCGCUCAUACGAACUCGGAAUCGAGUAAUCUCAAUGGCGUUGGAAAGAUCAUUCCACAAGCUUCGCAACCAUAACUGGAACUACUCCUAACUCAUCCUGAGCUAGGAGUUACGACUGACUCAAAGUUGGCCAAAAUCACUGAUUUCCACACUUAGCCAAAUUUUCCAGAUUUUGAAUUUUUCCAAAUUUCCAGAUUCUGGACUGCCAAAUUUCCAGAUUUUAAAUUUUUCCAAAAAUGACUAUUUCCAAAUUCAAGCUUCUUCAUAUUCAUUUUAAAUUGUCGGAUGUUACACGUAAUCAUCAAAUAUAUUAAGGACUACAAAGUUAAUCACUCGGAAGCCAAAGAGGAAGUGAAGAACAUUUGUAAAUGCAGCUAGCACUUUGCAUAUAAGAUAGUAUGGGCAGACACUUGAAACAACAAGUUUGCAAGAGAUUGAAUGAGAGACCAUACCUGAUAUAACUUUUCCAGCAAAUCCUUCACAAACUUUGUACAGGGGCAACAGCAUAUGAUAUGCAAAGCUUUGGCAAUCAACCUCACCUUCAGGGGACAACAAUCUACUCUGAUCUAUAAGCUUUGGUGAAACUGAUUUGAAACAAUUGAAGAUAAUUCUCAUCUGCAAAAAAUUGUGCACAUUCCACAGCAUGAGAACAGGCACUCCUAGCACCAUAUAUGGGAGAGUAAGGCACAAAAUAUUUUUUUUGGAAAACAACGAGAAGGUAAAUUACAUAGCAAUGACUAGGCUAAGAAAUUUUUUGCGAGUCGAGCAAACAGAGAUAUCCUUAAUUAAUCACCCACCUGCAUAUCCUCCACAUGAAGGGAAAUCUUUCCCAUUGUCUUAAGCAAAUAAGAAAUGACCAAGUAGCGCUGGCCUUCAUCUUCUUGAUCGCUAAGGUCAGACACAAGAGACAGAUAGAUGUUUUUCCCUUUCCUUGAAUCAAGCUGUUGAAAAGCCUUAAGCAGAAGACCCUGCUCGUCAUGUUCAAUGGUGGACCAGAACUCAUCUUUACAUUCAUUUUUUCCUAAGAAUGAAUGCAGAGAGCAAAUUGAAAAGACAAGAUUUUGAGUAAUGAGAUCACUGGCAGCAUCAUCAGUCUGCAGCACCUUCAGCUGACAACAAAGAGAAGUAGCUACGAAGAAAAGUCUACUUGGCCUCAUCAAAAAGUAAGUUUCUUGUGGCAGUUCAAGGUUUUCUUUCCAAGCCUCAGUCACAGUGGCAAAGUAGCAAGCCACAAGACGGUUUGAUAUGUUGCGCAACCACAGAUGCGGAUGCAAAAGCAACUCACAGAUUGCUUCCCACAGAUCCUAUGAGAUGUCAAUAAAAAUAAUAGUCAGAAAACAAAUAUGAAUUUAUCCAAAGAACAGGACAAGUUAUUGGCAAUCUGGAAAUGGGAGUGUGGUAGCUGUGGAGCGUACUUUCCCCAGUACAACAAUAACAUACCUAGUGAAAUCCCACUAAGUGGGGUCAGGGGAGGGUAGAAUGUACGCAGUCCUUACCACUACCUCGUGGAGGUAUAGAGGCUGUCUCCGAAAAACCCUCGGCUCAAGUGCAUCAAACCAAAGUAAAAGUAUCCUCUUCAAACUUUAAGCCCAGUAUACUAUUCAAACUCUAAGCACUUGAUUUUCAAAUACUUCUUAACUUUACACCUAGUCUGUAGUUGCAACUAUCUUUUGGCAUGCUGCCUAAGUUUGAGGACUAAAGCAAUUUCACCUAAGUGGUUGUAGCCACACCAAAAAGUAAUUCAUUUCUUAAAUCUAUCACAAAGCAAAAUGAGGUCCAGCGGUUUUCACAUAAGUCCCCUCGUACAUAUGCUAAGUAGGACAUAUUAUGGAUGACUUGGUUUUAGCCCUAUAUUUUAAGACCAUAGCUAAAAUAAUGAAAUACANNNNNNNNNNNNNNNNNNNNNNNNNNNNNNNNNNNNNNNNNNNNNNNNNNNNNNNNNNNNNNNNNNNNNNNNNNNNNNNNNNNNNNNNNNNNNNNNNNNNUAUCAUAAUCAAGAUCUCCCAACUCUACAGUAGACGUGGCAUUCAAUUCACGAAGAAGAUUUGCCUGUAUGAAAUUAAGAAGUGUUACACGUCAACAAACACCUAAAGCAACAAGUUCAAAAGAAAACUAGAUGGUCUAGUAAUACCGUAGGAUGUACAGAAGAAUCAUUCCCUGCGACAGCAUCAAGAACAUCACAAAUAGAAGUACGGACAUCCAAGCCAGCAGAAAUUACGAGUGGAGAAACAGAUUUGACGGUCUUUUUACUGCUUUCACUACCCAAUGGUUCUACAAUAUCCUUAAUAAUCUGUAAAGUGCCUACACAAAUCUCUGCAACCAGAAAGAAAGGUAAUCUUAGAAAAAGAGCAAGGACAUGAGACCAAACAGGUCCACCAAAACUGUAAGACAAAACUCAGAGACUCUGACCAGGGUCUUUGGAUCUCUUUGACAGAAGCGGAAGCAAGAUGUCAAGAAACUUCCUUGCAGCCAAUGGUCCCUUUAUGUGCUUCGAUAAAAGCUUGAAGACAUUGAGCUCUUUUUCCCCAGGAUAUUUGACAAUCUUCCUGGAAAAGUGAAUACAUCAGUUAAGAGGAGAACUGAUGCUAGUGCAUCUCAUAUAACACUUAAUUACAUAAAGAGCAUGCUAAGUCCACUUAGCCAUAUAGGGUGGAUGACACAUACACAAGAAAAUAAGUAAGAAACCUACUUAUUCUCCGGAGAAGCAUUUUCCAAAAAGACAUUUUAGAGGCAUUGUUAUCAUUUGGUAGAUCCAGGUCCAUGACCUAUUUCGAUGGAACACAUUUUCCAUGGUACAUAACACAUUCUCAGAAUUUCGCUCAUUGAUAUCCAUUGAUACGGACCUCACUUGUGGGAUUUCACGGGAUGUGUUGUUGCUUGAGUUGAUAUGCCCUGCUGAAAGUCUUUGUGGGUAGGAGGGAGUAUAAGAAUGAUCCACAACUCCCGGCAAAGUUGUAACAUUACCAUGUUGAUCUAAAUGUAAUAGAUGUACUCCUAUCUUCUUUACUAUGGCUCCGCCACUGCUAUCCUCUACUCUUAUCUGUUCCCCGCCUUUGAUGUUCAGGCCUUUAAAAGGUCUAUCAUUUGCGUAAGGUAAGUAAUAUACACAUGAUACUUCUCCGUGACCAUCAGGUAUAUCAAAAGGCAAAAUCCAUGAAAAACUCUUUUUAUGGGAAACAGUAACAACAAGGUGUUCAAGCUCAUGUACAUCGCAAAGGCGGCAAACAAACCAGAGAACCAUUCCUAAGAACUUGUUAUUAUGUACUGUGGGCAUAGUCAAACAGAUAGAUGGAGCUGUUACUUUAUUGCUGCACCAAUCUGGAAUCUCAUUGCUUUCGAGAUUAAUUUGUAACAACGACUUCAUCAGACAAAUUAAGACACAAUUAGAUCAUUAAUUAUUAAUGUGAUACGAGAGAGAGAUCAGAGAGGGAGAAGGACUAACCUCAUACCAUUGAUAUUUUCUACACGAAAUUGAUAGAGCAGGGGCACUAAAGAAGCCUUCACUGAAUGGAUUCUGCAGACAAGUACAAUUAUUCAUGUCCAUCUUCUUUAUUGAAGGGAGGUUGUCCAACCCUGUAAUCUUGACCAGUUUUUGGCAAUUCCUAAGUUCAACAACUCUAAGGUACUCUAAAUUUGAUAUUGAUGGGAGUGUUUGAAGGUUCUCACAAUCAUUCAAAUACAAGGACUUCAACCAUGGUAACUUGGAAAAAUCAAAGGGUAGAUAGAGGAAACUGUUGCCGCUCAAAUCUAAAUGAUAUAAGUUGGAUAAACUCCCAAUAUCCCUAGGAACAUCAGCCUCCGAGAAACCACAAUAUGGAAGGCAUAGAAUCGAAAUAAAUUUUGACAAGGAUACUAUGGGGCGUACUCUUGUUUGAGAAAACCUCCUUUUGGUCUCUAAGUAUUGACCUCCCAUUUCCAAUUCUAUAAGAUUUCCUAGCAUUUCAACAGAUCCAGGCAAUUCUUUUAUACCUGUUUCACCUGCAUUAAGAAAUCUUAGGCUUUGCAUAUCUCCAAUGUCAACUGGCAGUGUUUGUAAAGAUGAGCAGUCAUUAAUGCUCAAGUAUUCAAGGGAUUUUAGCUGGCAUAUGCUGCUCGGAAGAUCCGUAAUCUUUUCGCAACCAUUCAAUUGAAGAUCAGUUAGUCUGUCCAAAUUUCCUAUUGAUGGAUGGAUCUCCUUAAGACUUGAGCAAUUGUCAAGCCACAAAGUCUCGAGACUUCUUGAACCACAGAAGUUUGGAGUUCUUCUGAGGUGCUUGCAAUCAGAGAGAUCCAGCAUUUUCAAAUUUCUACAAUACUAAAAGUAAACAAAAUAUUGUUUUAAUUAAGAUUUUCUUUAUCUUAAACAUAACACAUAAAAUUGCAGAAUUGAGUAACGAACCUGCAAAUUCAAACCAAAUUCUUGGAUAUUGCUCCCUUUCAUAUUCAGAACUACAAGCUUCUCAGAUGGAAAAUUUGACGGUAUACAUUUUAAAGGACAUUCUUUCCAAGACAACCAUCUGAGCUCCUUGGACAAUAGCUCAAAAUCUCCACUAAUAUGUAAGUCGUCGAUUUUAAGCACCCUAAGAUUUAUCAUUUUCUGAAAUGCUUUGGUGUUCAGCUUCACACCCUUUAAUGCCUGUCGUUCUACCACCAAUAUUUCUACAUUUUCAGAACCCUACAGUUUGGUAAAAAGAAAAGUACUAUAAGACCAUGUUAUGUAUGAUAAAUUAAGAAAGAGAAAUGCUUUAUACAAAUUGAAGGUCAAACAAAGAAAAUAAAUUAUGUACCAAUAAAAAUAAACUUACACAUUAUAUCCAACUAAAGGAUAUUUAUUUGAUAAUUUUGUCUUUGAUAGCUUGUUUAGACUUCAGUAAAUGUUCAUUUCAAGUACAGAAUGGUUCAAACAUCUAAAGAUACUUACUAACCGGAGAAGAUUUAAGCACAAAUGCAUAAAUUAUAAGCAAGUGUAUAUCAAUAUGAAAAAAGAAGAAGAAGAAGUAUAACCGAGAUAAAGAUAAUGAAAUUUACUGACUUUAUUUCCUUGUAGGACAUCAAGGACUUCUUGAGGGUUGACCAAUCUACUCCGUUUUCCAAAGUCUCGAGGUGAUUCCAUGCGAACGAUUUCUCUUCCCAUAUCCCGCACUAGAUCAUGCAUCACCAAACGACGCCGAUCCCUUUGGAGCAGGUGUCUUUUGACUAGAGUUGCAAUUGCAGUUUCACAAUAAAAACCACAGGGGUUUAAUGUUUUGGUAACUUCAUCCUCAUCACAUCCAUGGAAAGCGCACGCAAUAUCAAGGAAAACACUCUGAGUAUUGUCAUCAAGUCCAUCAAAGCUUAUUUGGAGAAUCUUUUGAAUAUCAAAAUGAGGAAUUGUUCUUAGUUUUUUGAACUCGUAUCUCCAUUCUUCAACGGAUCUCCCUUGCAGAUGUGACCCCAAUGUCACAAGAGCUAAUGGUAGCCCACCUGAAUAUUUUAUUAUGUCUUGUGCCAGCUCAACAUAUUCUUGUGGUGGAGAAAAACAGUUAAAAGCAUGACAAGAAAAGAGUUGCGGGGCUUCAUUGUCAUUUAAAAGUUUGGCCCGGUAUAUCUCACUUGUUGUAAGCCCAUAUAGCAAAUGUUCAUCUCGAGUUGUAAUAAUUAUUACACUACCAGAGCCAAACCAACUUCUUUCUCUUGUUAAGGAUUCUAAUUGGCUUCUAUGAUCCACGUCAUCAAGAAUAAUUAGAACCUUCUUUGACCCAAGUCUUGCUUUGAUUAGACUAACACCUUCAGCAACACUAUCAACUUCAAAUUCCUUAGUUUUGAGGAUUUGAUGAAGUAGUUUCUCUUGUAGCUUGACUAGAACAUAUUCUUCAACUUUUGAUCUUAUGUCUGAAAGGAAGCAACUACCGUCAAACUGUUGAAAUAUUCGAUUGUAGAUAGCUUUUGCCAAAGUUGUUUUCCCAAUUCCACCAACGCCACAUAUACCAACCAUGCGAACUUCAUGCUCACAUCCACUUUGCAGUAACACCUCUAUAUGUUUGAUAGGAGAAUCUAAUCCAAUUGGGUAAUGAGCAACAUCUAGAGGUGUUGGGUUAACCUCUUGCAGAACUUGUUUUAUAAUACUUUCAAUAAACUUUGAUUCAUGCCUACAGUUUUUGCAACAAUAAAUACUCAAGUAUUUUAAAUUAUUUGAUGAACAAAAUGAAAAUCAAUAGCCAAAAGAUAACAGAGUUUAUAGAAUGGAGAUUAUCCCUUGUCCCAAUCUACGGUUUGAUUUGACACGAAAUUUAAGAAAUAUAAAAAGACUUUACAAUGUUCCAAAAUUAACCAAGUUUUAAGCUUAGGCAAAUGCUUAAAUUCAAAAUUUAAUAGUUGAAUUAAGAAGUCUUACCCAUCAGCAACAUUUCUUAAAUCCCAUCCAGAUAAAUUUGCUGCUUCAGUAAGUGCAGCUUUCCACUUUUCCAUUCUUUCAGCUCCAACCAAUCGUUCCUUGUGUUUUGCCAAAGCUUCGUCAAAGGACGAAGUUUGCCUUCGCACUUGAGAAGGAUCAACAUCAUAGAAAAUAGGCAAAACUACCUGCUUUAACCUCUGUUUGCAAUCGAGAAUUUUGACAAGUUCAUCAAGACACCAACUAGACGAAGCAUAAUUUUUGGAGAAAACAACAAUGGCAACCCUAGAUUGUUCAAUUGCUUUCUUAAGUUCAAUUGAAAUUUCGUCUCCUUUUCUCAAUUCCUCAUCAUCUAUGAAAGUAUUAACUCCGACUUGAUACAAUCUGAAAUAAAGAUGACCUGUGAAGUUUUUGCGAGUAUCUUCACCUCUGAAACUGAGAAACACAUCAUAACAUAAGUUGGAAGAAGAAGAUGAUUCUCCUUGAGUAUUCAUAUUUGAUGACAAUAAAUUAAAGAGAUUUUUAGUCAAUUUUUUUGUUUAAUUAAUUAAAUAGAGAUGUGAAGCAGCUCUUUAUAUGCCCACAAGUAAUUGUUUGUUCCUGGAAAUUUAAUUUUGGGUCAACUCAUUUACAGGCCCCAAAGAAGGUUAACAGAAAUGUAAGGGAAGUUUCCAAGAUAUUUCAUAGACAUGUUGCGUUCAAUUUUAUAUGUUAUAAUAUUAAAAAUAGAUAUACAAUUUACUUCCACUUCUUCCGUAGAUUUUUACUUGUUCACAUUAUAAACUAUAGUGAUCAUUUUUAUUUGUACAAUUUAAAAAUAAUCAAAAAUAAGAACUUUUAAUUUAUUUAUUUUAAAAUGUGUCAUACUUCCAAUAAUUCACUUAUGAACCAGUGAGAGUAGAUAAUGAGUGACUUGCUUUCACAUUUAUUGUCAGCACAACUCUAUCAGUCUUCUUUUUUUUUCAUCACUUUCACACUAUCGACAAGUGGAUUGACAUUACCAUGUUGGUCUAAAUAUAGCAGAUGGAUCCCUAUCUUUUUUAUUGCAUCUUUGCGAAAGAACAAAUAGUCAGACUCGUGAACUGUUACCUUUGAUCAUCUGGUCAACAAAAGGACUAGUUAAGCAAGAUAUGUAAUAUACACAUGAUACUUCUCUGUAUUGUCCGAUCGAGUAUAUCAAUAUCACAAAUUCUUGACAUAGAUACUCUCUCUCUAUCGGAUACAGCAAUACUGAAGCGUCCAAAAGUGGAUGAAAGUCUCUUAAAGUCGCAAAAAAAAACAGAGAAUCAUUCCUAAGAACUUGUACCCCUUAUCAUGUACUGUGGGCAUAGUGAAACAGAUAGAUGGAGAUGUUACUUUAUUGCUGCACCAAUCUGGAAUAUCAUUGCAUUCGACACAAAUUCGUAAAACUUGCUUCUUCAGAGUGUGAAAUGACAGAGCCUGGGCACCUUGAUUGAACGAUCUCCUUCAUCCUUGAGCAACCUUGAAGCUUCAAAGUCUCGAGACUUGUUGCACCGUUGAAGUUUGGAGUUUUUUUGAGGGCCGAGCACCAAGAGAUAUUCAGCUCCUUCAACCUUGGGCAACACUAAAUGUCAACCAAGUACAUUAAUAUUCAAGUUAUACAAGACUAUUUUGUAUAAUUUCACUAGUCAAUGAAAAAUGUAGAAUUGGGCAACAAAUUAAACCUGCAAAUUCAAGCCAAAUUUUUCGAUAGCACUCCCUUCCAUAUUAAGAACUACAAGAUUCGCAGCUGGAAAAUUUGGUGGAAUAUAUUUUAAAUGACAUCUUUGCCAAGAUAACCAUUUGAGCUCCUUGGGAAAAUGCCACAAAUCUCCAUGAAUACGUAAUCCAUUGAUUAUAAGCACCCUGAGUUUCUUCAUUUUCUUAAAUGCAUCGGUGCUAAACUCCACUCCCUCUAAUUCCCCUGGUUCAUCUAACCUCAUUACUUGUACAUUUCCGAAACUCUGUAGUUCAGAGAAAAUGUUUUAAUUAGGACUAAGAAUUGUAACACGACAUACAAUUAAAUUAAAAAGGAACAAGGAUUUACUCACGUUUUUUCCUCGUAAAACAGCACAGACUUGUUGAGGUAUGAAUAAUCUACUCCGUUCUACAAGGCAUUGAGAUUCUGAGCGAACAAUUUCUCUUCCCAUAUCUCGCACUAGAUCAUGCAUACUUACACAACCCCCAAGUACCCCUUGGAGCAACUGUUUUUGGACUAAAGUUGCAAUUUCACAUUUAGUGUGAAAACCACAUGCAUUUAGUAUUUCAGUUUUCUUGAGAGUCUUUUGGAUAUCAUCAUGAGGAAUUUCUUUUAGUCUCUUGAAUUUGCGUCUCCAGUUUUCUAUGGAUUCCCCUCGAAAAUGUGAACCCAAUGUCACAAGUGCUAAUGGUAGCCCACCUGAAUAUUUGAUUAUGUCUUUCGUCACCCCAACAUAGUCUUUAGGUGGAGAAAGACUGUCAAAAGCAUGACGAUAAAAAAGUUGCUGAGAUUCAUUGUCAUUUAAUUGGUUGAUCAUACAUCUUUUUGCAUUAAGCCAACUUAGCUAAAGCUCGUCUCGGAUUGUAAUAACUAUUAUACUACCCAAACCAAACCAUUUCUUUUCUUUUGUUAACGAUUCUAAUUGUUUUUUUGUGUCCACUUCAUCAAGAACAAUUAGAACCUUCUUUGACCCCAGUUUUCUUUUGAUUAGAUUGAUUCCUUCAGCAACACUGCGAACUUUGUACUCGUUGGUUUUGAACAGUAUAUUGAGAAGUUUCUCUUGUACACUUUCUAGACCAAUCUUUUUUUCUAGCAAUCUAACAUCAGAAAGGAAGCAACUACCAUCGAAGAUAAAUAAUCGAUUGUAGAUAUUUUUGGCCAGAGUUGUUUUCCCGAUUCCACCAACUCCAUAUAUACCAACCAAGUGAACUUCAUCUACGUGUCCAUUUUGCAAUAACGACUUUAUAGGUUUAGUACGAGAAUCAACUCCAAUUGGGUAAGAAGCAACAUGUAGAGGUGUAUGGUUGACCUCUUUCUUCAUAUCUUGUAUAAUCAUUUCAAUAAAUUCAGCUUCAUGCCUACCAAUAUUUUUACCAAAAAACACUCACAUGAUGGGAGGUGUUACGCUUUAAAAUAGUUGCCUAUCUAUGGAUGGCAAUGGGGCGGUGCGGGACGGGGCGCGUUGAGCUUAAUCUAUAAAAAAUUUAAUUCGCUCUGCAUAACAAUUUUUUUCAUUUUCAACCUGCCCCGCAUGAAACUCCCCACAUAGUUUUUUUAAUAUUUUUCUUUUCUAGUUAAGUUUGACACUAAAAAUAAAAUUCAUAAAAAUAAAUUCAUUUUUUCAUUAAGUUGUAUUAAUUUAAUAGAAAAUGACCUAAAUUUUAUUUUUUAGAAGUCAAUUGGUAAACAUGUAAGAAAUUGUAUUAAUUUUUAUUGAAUCAUUUUCAUUUACCAUCUUGAAUAUUUUAGUAGCUUUAGAGAAAUUAUCUUAAUAAAUAAUGUUCUAUCACUCUUAUAGCAUGUAAAAAGUUAAAAUUAAAUUGAAUCCACAUAAUGCCACAUAUUCCGGCAACCCCGUCCCACAUAGCCUUAAAUCCACUCCAUCCCGCAUCCGCCCCGUUUCAUUGUUAUCUAUGGCUAUCAAACGACCCAAAAUUGUUAACAGAAAUAAAAAGGAAGUUUCCUAAGAGGUACUUUCUCUUUUGGGUAAUAACCAUAGUUAAUAGUAUAAUUAAAAACAUUACAUUUCAUCCUUGUAGGAAAUUACUUAUGGGGUUCUUGAUAGGCAAUCUUACUGUGGAGGAAAGUUGAUAGAAAUUGAAUGGAAACAUUCAAAUUCUUUUUCUUUUUAAUUGAAUGGUUUUCACAUUCUAAAUUUUCUCUACCCACCAAAGGUCAAUUCUAAUAGUGGUUGCAUCUUGAAUUGGACCCUUUUUAUUUUUAAACAAAUUUCUUAGUACACAAAACAAAUAUAUUGCUUACUUUAAAAGCAAGGUAUCAUAAAUUCACGUCGAAACAUUGUACUUGCCCUUUAAAAUUUUACAACUUAUGAUUUUCAUCUUUUUUUAAAAAAAAUAAUGCAAGAAAUAUGUCAUGAUGUUCCACUAUGCCUUUAUAAAUCUCCAUUUAUCUUUGUUUUGUUUGUUUAAUCGAAAUUUAAUCUUCUUACUGUUACGAUUACCAGAUUUUACACACUACUUGCCUAUUCUUUCUUCUUCUAACCUUUUCUUUUCCUUUUUGAAUAUUUUCUUUUAAUAUUAGUAUUUCUUUUGAAUGGUCUAACCAGUAGUUGAACUUAGAAGCUUUCUUUGGUUAUGAAACCAAAUUAAUAUUAUUUACCUUAUUUAGAGGUAUUGCCACUAUAAGUAAUACAACGAUUAACUAUUUUAUGCAAAACUUUCGUAAAUGUGCUUUUACAUAAAUUUCCAUUCAGUGUGACACACACGAAGUAAAACCACAUGUUUCUUCUUUUUGCAUUCCAAAAAAAAGGAAGAAUAUUCUUCUCCAUUACUAAAAAUCAAUAAAUUACACAGUUCAAUCACUUACAAUGUUCCCUGGCAUUGCAUGUUAAUCAAAGAGACACUAUAUUCACUAUACAAUGAAAAAGUUGAUUCAAUUUUUUAAACUAAGCUUAGUGCAACUCAACAUACUACCACUAUACAAUGGAAAAUUUGGUUACAUAAAUUAAACAAAAUUUUCUAUAGAAGCUACUGCCUAUAUCGAACAACAAAAUUUUCUAUAGAAGCUACUGCCAUCGAAGAUCGAUGCUCAAUUGUUCAUACCUAAUAAUGGCUUUGUAGCCCUAUAAUAGUACACAUUCUACUACAUCCAUCUUCCCAUCUUCAUUGACAUCAUUUUCCUCUUCUUGUGUGCUUUAUGCUUUUCUGCAAUCCUCAGCUUCCUCUUGGCAUUUCUCAUUGGAUUAACCACAGCAAUGACCUUCUCUUCUUGUUUCCUCUUAUCCCUCUUCGAUUUGAUAUUCUUCCUUAUAUGACUGUAAAUUUGGACAAAAAUAUGUGUUCCUAUAACAUUGCUUAUGCUCCCUCGCACUCCUUCAGCCAGUUGUUUCACGUCGUCUGUGGAGAUGAUGCAAACGUAAUCAUCAAAUAUAUUAAGGACUACAAAGUUUAAUCACUCGGAAGCCAAAGAGGAAGUGAAGAACAUUUGUAAAUGCAGCUAGCACUUUGCAUAUAUGAUAGUAUGGACAGACACUUGAAACAAUAAGUUUGCAAGAGAUUGAAUGAGAGACCAUACCUGAUAUAACUUUUCCGGCAAAUCCUUCACAAACUUUGUACAGGGGCAACAGCAUAUGAUAUGCAAAGCUUUGGCAAUCAACCUCACCUUCAGGGGACAACAAUCUACUCUGAUCUAUAAGCUUUGGUGAAACUGAUUUGAAACAAUUGAAGAUAAUUCUCAUCUGCAAAAAAUUGUGCACAUUCCACAGCAUGAGAACAGGCACUCCUAGCACUAUAUAUGGGAGACUAAGGCCCAAAAUAUUUUUUUUGGAAAAACAACGAGAAGGUAAAUUACAUAGCAAUGACUAGGCUAAGAAAUUUUUUGCGAGUCGAGCAAACAGAGAUAUCCUUAAUUAAUCACCCACCUGCAUAUCCUCCACAUGAAGGGAAAUCUUUCCCAUUGUCUUAAGCAAAUAAGAAAUGACCAAGUAGCGCUGGCCUUCAUCUUCUUGAUCGCUAAGGUCAGACACAAGAGACAGAUAGAUGUUUUUCCCUUUCCUUGAAUCAAGCUGUUGAAAAGCCUUAAGCAGAAGACCCUGCUCGUCAUGUUCAAUGGUGGACCAGAACUCAUCUUUACAUUCAUUUUUUCCUAAGAAUGAAUGCAGAGAGCAAAUUGAAAAGACAAGAUUUUGAGUAAUGAGAUCACUGGCAGCAUCAUCAGUCUGCAGCACCUUCAGCUGACAACAAAGAGAAGUAGCUACGAAGAAAAGUCUACUUGGCCUCAUCAAAAAGUAAGUUUCUUGUGGCAGUUCAAGGUUUUCUUUCCAAGCCUCAGUCACAGUGGCAAAGUAGCAAGCCACAAGACGGUUUGAUAUGUUGCGCAACCACAGAUGCGGAUGCAAAAGCAACUCACAGAUUGCUUCCCACAGAUCCUAUGAGAUGUCAAUAAAAAUAAUAGUCAGAAAACAAAUAUGAAUUUAUCCAAAGAACAGGACAAGUUAUUGGCAAUCUGGAAAUGGGAGUGUGGUAGCUGUGGAGCGUACUUUCCCCAGUACAACAAUAACAUACCUAGUGAAAUCCCACUAAGUGGGGUCAGGGAAGGGUAGAGUGUACGCAAUCCUUACCACUACCUCGUGGAGGUAGAGAGGUUGUUUCCCUAGUCUCAAGUGCAUCAAACCAAAGUAAAAGUAUCCUCUUCAAACUUUAAGCCCAGUAUACUAUUCAAACUCUAAGCACUUGAAUUUCAAAUACUUCUUAACUUUACACCUAGUCUGUAGUUGCAAACUAUCUUUUGGCAUGCUGCCUAAGUUUGAGGACCAAAGCAAUUUCACCGAAGUGGUUUUAGCCACACCAAAAAGUAAUUCAUUUCAUAAAUCUAUCACAAAGCAAAAUGAGGUCCAGUGGUUUUCACACAAGUCCCCUCGUACAUAUGCUAAGUUGGACAUAUUAUGGAUGACUUGGUUUUAGCUCUCCUAUAUUUUAAGACCAUAGCUAAAACAAUGAAAUACAGCAGCACUAGCACUAAUGAAAUAAAGGAUAGAGAGAGAAAAUAUAGUAAUUUUUUUCUUUCUACAGAGACUAAUAUCCAUUCUAUAGAGGAUAGAUAUAGAAGAUAUUUUAUCUUUUUAAAUUCUACAAAAACAAACAUCCAAUAUGUGCUAUAGAGUAUCAAAACAAUGUCUCAAAGGCAAUUCAACCAGUUAUGAAUAUCCAUUAGCUCCAUUUUAUCCCAAUAGAAUAAGUCUGGAUGGCAGGCAAAUCUUAUAAAUGUUCAUAUGUUGUUGUUGUUGUCUUAUUUACAGAAGUAAUCAGUUAGUACCUAGUAGUAGUCACUUUAAUUUCUAACAUAGGAUUAAAAGAAAGGAAUAAAUACCUCAAGAUCCUUUCUGAAGCACAACUUAGGAAAUUGAUUUAAUAUCUUCUCAAACAGAACCAGUGAAUAAUAUGCUUCUUUCCAAGAUGAAAUCGUUGCAUCAUUCGGUAGAUCCACUUGCUUAUUUGUAAGAACAUUAACAGCAGAUUGCAAGAUGUUUCUCAUAACAGGUAGGAGGCUAUCAAUAUACUUUUGGAAACCAUCUUUAAGUCCUUCAAUGAGUAACCCCAAAACCUGUAAAAGAAAUAAUGAAGUCUUGAAACAUGUUUUUCUAUUUUUUGAUGAGGAAGGAGUUAUAUCUCAGAUUCAUGACAAAAUAAUGACGUCAGUUUUUGUCCAUUCUUCCGGCUAUUUAAUUCAUAGUUCAUAUACAUAAACGAAUAUGAAAAAAGUGAAUGACAUAUGGAACUUGUAAUCCUUCUUCGGUAUUUCCAAACUUGCUCCACGAUGGCAUAAUGUAGUUGAAUAAAAGAACAGUUUGGGGUUUUCACUCGUUUACCUGUGCUGCAGCACUCCAUAAAUGUGGUUUAUCUCCCAGAUACCAGGACCGACUAAACUCAAGAAUUGACUGGAGUGAACGGGGGCUGACUCGUCCAACAAGUAACUUUAUGACUGUACCAGUCAUUGAACGGACUCUGUUGUCACGAUCAUUCGCCAGACAAACCACCAAAUGCAGAAAAAACGUCUGAGAUUGUUCAUCUAUGAUGCUAACUGGGAAUUUCAUUAUAACAGCAUGAAGCAUUUCAAGGAUAGCUUCUCUUCCAGUUGAAUGCUCAUAUCUGAAAAAUUCAAAAACAUCAUUACAGAGAUGUCACCAUCUAUAAAUUUUACCAAAUGAAAUUAUUGAUUGUGCCCUUAUGUCCUUGCCUUAAGUUUGAAAGUAAGAAAUCAAGAUGUUGUUGAAGACGUUUCUCAGAUAUAUGGUAGUCCAGUAAAAACUGCAGCAAAAUUUGGCUGCUUUUCUUACGAAUUGAUUCAACUUGACUAGUCACCAUCAACACUGCAAGAUUUCUGCAACUACCAACUUCCUACUCACUAUUGCUUUCAACAGUGAGAGAGCCACAAAAGAGGGAUUUCUUUCAAGAUCAACAAAAAGAGGAAACUGGAUUAGCAUAUGCAGUUGAUCAGUAGAAAGUGUGAUCUUAGUGCUACGCAAAAGCACAGUUAGCAACUUAACGCAAGACUCCAAUAAUGGAUUACUGGAAGUUACUGAACCUUGAGCAAUAUUCAGUAAUGAAUUCUUUAUCUUCUCUGCCUGAGAUUCAAGAGAUGGCAAAGGGAGCCUCACCAGAGGAGAUAAGCACCUAAGUGAGGCAGACAUGACAUUCUCAUAUUUUGAGUUUAAGCAUUCACCCAAUAAUCUUACAAAUGGAUCUAGCAUUGACAACAACUGCUCAUCUUUCUUGUCAAAUUUCAUGUUCUUCAUGUAAUUCUGAAGCACUCCAAGAGCAAAUUCAGUAAUAAGAUGGGAAUAUCGUGGAUCAACGCUGACCAACUUAUCUGAUUUAGCAAUCUGGCUGCUUACUCCAUCUUUCUUUUGCUUACCUUCCAUUAAAGUCGAUGUCUCUGCAUGCCCUGGAGAUUCAUCUUUUAUGCCAUCUUUGAUCAGACCAUAUUCAUAGAUAAAGAGUUCUGUCUGGUUAACGGAAGGAUUACACUGUAUUCCAGCAGCUAUAUGAGAGAACAUAUUCUCAAAUUUUGAUUUUACUUUUGGAGUCAGCUGCUUCUGUAGAUGCUUAAGAAUUGGCGCAAGCAGCUUCAGAGCAUGUGUUUUGAAUGUGAUGCUUUGGGCAAUCAAUUUAAGGGUAUCAUAUGACUUCUGCUUCCUAGUCUCUUCCAUCUUUGAAGCAAUCUUCUCAACCUCUUUCUCCUCUGAAAUAUCACUAAGUAUAUCAUUUAUUGCAAUCGAGAGAAGAUCCUCUAAACAAAAAUCCAGCUUCCCACUACUGGGAUUUAGAAGAAAUUUUGAUAGUAGAAAAUUGAGAGUGAAUCCCAAAACAUGCAAUUCAAAUCCUCUCUUCAGAGUGCCUCUCAAGACUUUGACAACAAAUUGCAAGUACUCCAGCCCUAGUUCUUUUAAACAAGCAGCCAAAGCAGCUCUGGCUUCAUCACGAACACUUUCCAAACGAUUCUUAAGGAAAUUCGCUAUGCGAUGCAUCAUAGAUGGAAGGUGCGAUUCCAUGAUGUCUCCCGAAAUUCCGCAAUAACACCUUUUGUUUAUCUGGUUUCAGUGUCAUCUCCCGAAAGCAUCUAUUGAGUAAUGCAUAAUACAAUCUCCAGUCCAUGAAUUUAGAAAUUGAUCCAACAGCUUCCAAACAUGCACUUCUAAUAUUUUCACCCUUUCCAACUUGUCCAUCAACCAACAUUUUAAAGAGAAGAGGGAUAAACACUUUAUUUAUGAGAACCUGCACCAGAAUUAUUCCCAACUAUUAGUACAGCUUAGCAACACAGAGCACAAAUUGAUGCUUAAAGAAAAAGGCAAGUAACCACCUUAGACAGAUUCCCGGAAUAUGUAACUCAUCGAUUUUAAGCACCCUCAAAUUUUUCAUUUUCUUAAAUGUCUUGGUGCUCAGGUUCGCGCCUUUUAAUUCCCCUGGAUCUACCACCAGUACUUCUACUUUUUCGGAACCCUGUAGUUUCAGCACAUAUUAAUUGAACAAAAGCAAUUAUAAGCAAAUAUUUAUCAAAUUAUUGAAAAAAAUUAAAAUCACGAAAGAUAAAGAAUCUACUGACUAUAUUUCCUUGUGGAACAUCUCGGACUUCUUGAGGUUUGAACAAUCUACUCUGUUUUCCAGAGUCUCAAGGUGAUUCCAUACGAACAAUUUCUCUUCCCAUAUCUCGCACUAGAUCAUGCAUCAUCAAAUAACGCCAAUCCCUUUAGAGCAAGUUCCUUUGGACUAAGGUUGAAAUUGCACUUUCAGAAUAAAAACCACACGCAUUUAAUGUUUUGAUAACUUCAUCCUCAAAAAAUCCAUGGAAGGCACACACGAUAUCAAGGAAAACACUUUGAGUAUCACAAUCAAGUCCGUCAAAGUUUAUCUUGAGGAUCUUUUGAAUAUCACAAUGAGGAAUUGCGUAUCUCCAUUCUUCUACGGAUCUCCCUUGUAAAUGUGACCCCAAUGUCACAAGAGCUAACGGUAGCCCACCUGAAUAUUUGAUUAUGCUUUGUGCAAGCUCAACAUAUUCUUGUGGCGGAGAAGGACUACUAAAAGCAUGACAAGAAAAAAGUUGUUGAGCUUCAUCUUGAUUUAAAAGUUUUGCCUUGUAUCUUUCAUUUUCUCUAAUCCGAGAUAACAAAUGCUUGUCUCGGGUUGUAACAAUUAUUAAACUACCAGAGCUAAACAAACUUCUGUCUCUUGUUAAGGAUUCUAAUUGGCUCAUAUGAUCCACUCCAUCAAGAAUAAUUAGAACCUUCUUUGACCCAGGUCUUGCUUUGAUUAGAUUGACGCCUUAGCAACACUACUAACUUUGACGUCCUUAGUUUUGAGAACUUGAUUUAGUAGUUUUUCUUGUAACGUGACUUGACCAAAUGCUUCAGCUUCUAAUCUAACAUCUGAAAGGAAGCAACUACUAUCAAAUUGUCGAAAUAUUUGAUUGUAGAUAGCUUUAGCCAGAGUUGUUUUCCCUAUUCCACCUACGCCCAUAUAUACCAACCAUACGAACUUCAUCUGCACUUCCUUUUGGAGUAACAACUCUAUAUCUUCGACACGAGAAUCUACUCCAACAGGGUGCCAAGAAACAUCUAGAGGUGUCUGGUUUACCUCUUGUAGAACUUGUUUUACAAUACUUUCAAUAAAUUUUGAUUCAUGUCUGUAUAUUACCAAAAACAACAGUUAGAAUUAAAAAAAAAAACAACUUUGAUAUGUGGAAAAAAAAUAAUUGAUAACCAACUUAUGACUUUUGACUGAUAAGUCAGUGUGACCAGCUUAUAAAUAUUACCCGUCAACAACAUUUGCAAAUCCCAUCCAGAUAAAUUUGCAGUUUCAGUAAGUGAAUCCGUCCAUUUUUUCAUUCUCUCAACCUCGAAUGAUCGUUCCUUAAGCAUAGCCAAAGCUUCACCAAAGCAUCCGGUUUGCUUGCGUACAUGAAAAGGAUGAACAUCAUAGAAAAUAGUCAAAACUAUUUGCUUUAACUUCUCUUUGCAUUCAAGAAUUUUAACAAGUUCAUCAAGACACCAACUAAACGAAGCAUAAUUUUUCGAGAAAACAACAAUGGAAACUCUAGAUUCUUCAAUUGCUUUCUCAAGUUCUGUUGAAAUCACCUUACCUUUUCUUAAUUCCUCGUCAUCUAUGAAGGUAUUAAUUCUGACUUGACAUAAUCUAGAAUAAAGAUGACCUGUGAAGGUUUUUCGAGUAUCUUCACCUCUGAAACUCAGAAACACAUCAUAAGAGAAGUUGGAAGAAGUAGUUGAUGAUUCUCCUACAACAAAUUGAGUAUUCAUAUUUGAUGUGAAUAAAUGGAAGAAUGAGUAGCUAUAUAUAUAAUAUACCAUGCACAUUCUAUGGUUUUUUCUUGGUAACUUAACUAAUGCUAUAUAUUCUUUAAUUUAUUUUGUACAAUUAUUCUUCAUUAAAUUUUGUUAAUUGGGAUUUUUUUUAAAUUGAUUCUUUACCUUUUGUCUCAUCUUUAAUUUGUUAAAGACUUGAAUGAUAAAAAUUUAAAGUAAGAUUCUUUCUUCCUUAACAACUCAAAAGUUCAUCUCUCCACAUAAUUAUGAUGAUGUUAAGCUUGAUGUCAUAAUCUUUUAAUAAUGGAAUUGAAAACAUCGAUUUGUUCUCAAUUCACAAGUUGGAUUAAACGUUUUUUUUCUUUCUUUUUACCUAAGUAUCACAUAAAUUAUAACGAUAAUUUUUUAAAAGAAAAACAAUUUGUAUUAAUAGUAAAAACUAGGAAACUUUGUCGUAAUAAAGCUAACUACUAGUCUAUUGCAACUAUUAAACAACUAGAGCUAUCAAUAUGGGCUGACCCAUCCCAUCCGGGUUAAUCUAUACAGGUUUUGAAAUAUGACGGGUUAGGCCGGGCUAGCCCAUUUUUGGUGUGGGCCAGAAAAUGGUCGGUCCAACCCACAAGUACGUGGGCUAGGGGCUUGUCGGGCCAGCCCUCUUUUCGUAAAAGUAUAUUUUUUAUAAUUUUUUAAAUUAAAUUAUAAUUUAAAAAUAUUAUCAUAAAUAUCGACAAGAUAGUAUUACACGGUGUUAGUGUUGACACCUAAUUUUGACCCUCCACAAUAAGAAUUAAUUUGUGAGCUUUCUUAAUUCCAAACGAUUUGAAAUAACUAAUUUUAUAAAAAUUCAAAAUAUGUUUCAAAGAUAUUUUAGGAAUUUUAUUCACUUUUAUAAUAUUUUAAAUAAUAAAUAUGUUUUAUAUUGUUACGUAUGUAACUAAUAUAUUUUAUAAACACUUGAAAAAUAUCUUGAAAAAGAUUUUUUUUUUUUUAUUAUUAUUAUCAUUUAUUUUUAACGUUAAACACUUUACUAAUUUAAUUUAGUUUGAAUUAUAGGUAUGUUUUUGAAUUAAUUAGUUUGAUUGAGUUAAUUAUUUUUUAGUUUGUUAAAUUUAAGAAGCUUGUUAAUUGAUCUUGUUUAAAUUCAUCUCAUUUAGCUUUUGCCGAAUUUGCUAAUUAAAUCCGAUUUAGCUAACUUCCUAAUUCCCAUUAGGUCAUAAUUGCUUCCAUGUGGCUUAAGCCAAUUUAAAUCUCACUUGGACCAAAUCUAAGAUCAGACUUGGGCAUGUCCUCAAUUUCCAAUUCCCAAGCUCAUUUCCCCUUUGGUUUCCAAUUAAGCCGAGCCCAACCCAUCCUUCUCCAAAUUUCCCGACCCAAUCCAACACAACUGACCCGACCCGGCCCAUUCCAACUCUAAAAGAAACUCAAAUGUCCUUCUCUUUUCCAAGGUCCCAGAAGCAGUUCCAAACGUUCACAGACCGACAAAGCAACAGCAGUCCACGGCAUCCUCACGAUGAGAGACGAUUCCAAAGGAAUCAACACGGAAUAUUCGAAUCACAAUAACCAACGACGUCAAUUCCGAUACACGGCGUGAAAGCAUGGAGAUACACGCAAGCAGUGAGGAACGAGACGGACAGAGGGCAGUACUAUUCCUUGUCUUCUUCCUCCAAUGUCUCUCUCAACCAGUACUAUGGCAGUAGCACGCGGUUUUCACCUUUCCUCUUUCGGAAUGGGGCGAAAACCUCAGAAGAAGGGUGUGUGUCCGAAUUUGUGAAAGGUUUUUGGAAUUCAAAUUUAUGGGACUUGAAUCCGAAAUUGCAUUUGUCCUUUCCCCCCACAAUCUACCCUAAUUUUCCCAUAUAUAAUCAUCUCUUCUAUUAAGUCUUAAGAAGUCAUUAAGUCGGUUAGUUAGCUCAUUAAUUUAAUAGUCAGUUAGUUAGUUAUUAAAAUCUGUUGUAACUAACUACACUGCUUGUAACUAACUACACUGCAGAAAGCCAGCUAAGGCAUCGUGUAUAAAUAGACAUUCAAUUGUCAUUGUUGACACAAGAAAUAAAAUUCCUUUCUAUCCUUUGUUCAAAGUGCUCUCAAUUCAAUUGUUCAUCAUCUGUGAUUGAUGAAAGUUAACAUGGUAUCAGAGCAGUGAUCAUAAGGGAUUGAUCUGCGUAGAAGAGAAGAACCCAGAGGUGCUGAGAAGCUGUAGAAGAAGCUCCUGAAACAAGCAUCAAUGGGGACUAAUGAAGUUACAGAUCUAAGUACAACAAUAGGAACAAAUGAGAUUACAACUCUAAAUCACAAUCACCCGCUUUAUCUCCAAGCUUCAGAUGCACCUGGAGUAGUUCUGGUUCCAAUCAAAUUAACAGGGCCAGAAAAUUACGCUUUAUGGAGCCGAUCGAUGAAAUUGGCUCUUAGAGGAAAAGGGAAACUUGGAUUCAUUGAUGGAUCUUGUGCGAAGACAACUUAUAAAGGAGGAUUAGAGGAACAAUGGGAGAAGUGCAAUGCAAUAGUACUGUCAUGGAUUGCGAGCACAGUUACGAGUGAAUUACUGCCAGGGAUUAUAUACGCUUCAAAUGCUAAGAGAGUUUGGGAAGAUUUUCAGGAGAGAUUUGAUAGAUCAGAUCUCACUAGAAUUUACCAUUUGUGGUCAGAAAUUGCAGCUCUCAAACAAGGUACUGAUUCUGUGACCUCUUACUACUCGAAAUUGAGAGAUUUAUGGGCUGAAUUAGAAGUAAUGGUUCCAUCACCUGGUUGUACAUGUGCGGAUUCAACUUCUUAUAUGGAGCAUUUAAGAUCUCAGAAACUGUUGCAAUUCUUAAUGGGAUUGAAUGAGAGUUUUGGACAUAUCCGGAGUAGCAUUCUAGCUAGGAAGCCUGUAGUGACAGUAAAUGAAGCAUAUGCAGUUGCAGCACAAGAAGAAAGUCAAAGAGUCCUAGGUGUUUUGGAUAAAAGCAGGGAUCCGUUAACACUUUUAGCAGGGAAAACUCAAGGAUAUAGAUCAAAGCCAAAGAAGUUUGUGCCACCAGGAACAAUUUGCGAUCAUUGUGGUUUCAAAGGCCAUUUCAAGGGUGAUUGUUAUAGGUUGGUAGGGUAUCCACCAGAUUUUCAAAGCAAGAGAAGAGGACCUGAUGGUUUUAAGCCAGAUUUCAAGCCAAAUGCACACUUAAGUAAGAAUACUGAUGAUCUCACCAACAGAGGAAAGCUUACUGAAAAUUAGGGGUCAUCAUCUCAAUAUGAGGAUUUGGGAAACAAAGUGGGUCGAGCAGGAAUAUCAGGAUGUGUUGCUAACUUGUCAGGUAUGAAUUCUUUAGAUUUCAAAACAGACACAGUUUAUGAGUGGAUAAUUGAUAGUGGAGCUACACAUCAUAUUACACCUAAUGAGGAGUUAUUAAUUGCCAAUAAAAGAACACAUAAUAGUGUUGGAGUUCAAGUUCCAACAGGGAAGAGGUGUGACAUCAAGAGUAUUGGAGUUGUGAAGAUUUUAGAAGGGGAAGAACUUCAGAAUGUGUUGUAUGUGCCAGAUUUCAAAUUUAGCUUGUUAUCAGUUGCAAAGCUAACCAGGGAACUUGCUUGUUCAGUUUCUUUCUAUCCUGACUAUUGUAUAUUUCAGGGACUUUACAAUGGCAAGGUAUUGGGGAUUGGUAAAGAAAAGGAAGGACUAUACAUACUAGAGAAUCAACUAAGGUCAAUAGUUCAUGCUGUGACUGUUGACAAGGGGAAUGGAGAUACAAAGCUAUGGCACUUAAGGCUAGGACAUGCUUCACCUGGAGUUCUAAAACACAUCCAGUCUUUGAAACAUCUCUCAAAUAAAGAGGUGCAACAUAACUGUGAGAUAUGUCCUUUAGCAAAGCAAUGUAGAUUGAAAUUUCCUAUUAGUACAAGUAAAACAUUUGGAGUUUUUGAACUGGUUCAUGUAGAUGUUUGGGGACCAUAUAGAAAGCCUACUUUUGACAAGAAAUAUUAUUUUGUUACUAUAGUAGAUGACUAUAGCAGGUACACAUGGUUAUGUCUCAUUCAUUCCAAGAGUGAAGUCAUUGUAGUACUCAAAGAUUUCAUUGCUUUAAUAAAAAAUCAGUUUGGCUUGUCUGUGAAAGCUUUAAGGUCUGAUGAUGGUACCGAAUUUUUCAGUUCAUCAGUUGUUGAUUUACUUGCUUCAUGUGGUAUUGUACAUCAAAGUAGUUGCGUUUAUACCCCACAACAGAAUGGUACAGUAGAAAGGAAACACAGACAUAUCUUGGAAGUUGCAAGGGCUUUAAAGUUUCAAAGCUCUCUUCCUAUUCAUUUUUGGGGUGAGUGUGUUAGGACUGCUGUGUACUUGAUAAAUAAAUUGCCUACUGAAGUGCUGGGAGGGAGAUCACCUUAUGAGAUGCUACAUCAGAAAAUACCUGGUAUUGAUCAUUUAAGAGUGUUUGGUUGCCUAUGCUAUGCAACUAGGUUGCCUAAAGGAGAUAAGUUUGCCCCUAGAGCUAGAAAGUCAGUUUUUCUAGGAUAUUCUGAAGUUCAAAAGGGUUACAGAUUAUAUGAUUUAAUUGAGCAGACAUUCUUUGUGAGCAGAGAUGUGGUCUUCAAAGAGAAUAUUUUUCCUUAUCAAACAGAUACAUUGUCUCCUGAGUCAGACAUGUUUGAGUUAAAUAGCUCAGAAUUGAGUCAUGUAUAUUCAAAUGAGGAUGUGGUGUUCGAUACAACAGUGGUUGAACCAUCUGUCUGUGGUAUUGAACCACCCGAGGUUGAUGCAGUUCCUGAUGUUGUCACUGCAGUCACAGAGGAUAGUGAUUCACUAUAUGAAGGGAAUCCAAUCUCAUCACCAGAUAUACAACCUGUCAUUAUUCCAUAAACACAUGUCAGACCUCCCAGAAACAUCAAACCACCUAGUUGGCUUGAUGACUACAUUACUAAUCCUAAGAAAUCUGCCAAUUGUACAUAUCCCAUCUCAAAUUACCUUCAAUAUUCUCAUCUGUCAGCAGCUUACCAAGCCUAUUUAGGUACUUUUUCUCAACCAGUUGAGCCUAAAUCCUUCAAGGAAGCAUCUUUAGAUGACAGGUGGGUCGCAGCUAUGAGUGAUGAAAUUGCUGCCCUUGAGAGCAAUCACACCUGGGAUAUAGUCGAUUUGCCACCAGGUAAACAAGCCAUUGGUUCUAAGUGGGUAUUCAAGAUCAAACACAAUGCUGAUGGAUCUAUAGACAAGUACAAGGCAAGGUUGGUAGCUAAGGGGUACAAUCAAAAGGAGGGGUUAGACUAUCAUGAGACUUUCUCACCAGUUGCCAAAAUGGUAACAGUGAGAACUCUCAUUACAAUUGCAGCUUCCAAAGAUUGGCCUCUCAUUCAGAUGGAUGUUAACAAUGCAUUCCUACAAGGUGAUUUAUAUGAAGAGGUUUAUAUGGCUUUGCCACAAGGGUUUCACAGACAGGGGGAGACUAAAGUAUGCAAACUGACCAAGUCUUUAUAUGGAUUAAAGCAGGCCUCUAGACAAUGGAAUAUUAAAUUGUCUACUGCUCUACUGGAAACAGGCUAUGUUCAGAAUUCACAUGAUCAUUCCUUGUUCACAAAACAUUCAGGAGAUGAUAUAGUGAUGAUCCUUGUAUAUGUUGAUGAUUUGUUAAUUACAGGAAACAGUCAAAGUUUGAUUGAGGAUGCUCAAAAGACUCUACACAACAAAUUUAAAGUGAAAGACUUGGGGCAACUUAGAUACUUCCUAGGAAUUGAGAUAUUGAGAUCAGAUAAGGGAAUCUUACUCAAUCAGAGAAAGUACACCUUGGAACUGCUGUCCACAGUGGGGUUAGGUGGUGCUAAGCCAGUUUUUACUCCUAUGGAGAUGAACACAAAGCUUACUACAAUAGAGUAUGACUCAAUGGUUGGAAAUAAAGAUGAUCCUGUACUAACUGAUGUACAUAGCUAUCAACAGUUGAUAGGGAAGCUGAUUUACUUAACAAUCACCAGGCCAGACAUUUGUUUUGCAGUACAGGUCCUAAGUCAAUUUAUGCAACAUCCCAAGAAGUCACAUUGGGAUGCAGCACUAAGAGUCCUUAGAUACCUGAAGGGAUCACCAGGACAAGGAGUAUUAUUGAAGAAAGGACCAAUUACAAACUUGACAGCCUUCUGUGAUUCAGACUGGGCUGCAUGCCCCAAUACUAGGAGAUCAGUAACAGGAUAUGUUAUUAUGCUUGGAGAGUCUAUGGUCUCAUGGAAAUCAAAGAAGCAACAUACAGUGAGUAGGAGCUCAGCUGAGGCUGAGUACAGAAGUAUGGCAGGGGCAGUAUCAGAAAUUAUUUGGUUAGUUGGUUUACUGAAAGAUCUGAAAAUAGAUGUCACUACUCCAGUCAGGUUGUGUUGUGAUAGCAAAGCAGCUAUGCAAAUUGCUUCAAACCCAAUCUUUCAUGAAAGGACUAAGCAUAUUGAAAUAGAUUGUCAUUUUGUGAGAGAGAAGCUCAAAGAUGGCCUAAUCAAACCAGAGUUUGUUGGCACUAAAUCUCAGUUGGCAGACUUGCUUACAAAAGGCUUAGGAACAGUACAACAUCAUUUUCUUCUGUCCAAGUUAGGAGUUCUUGAUGUUUUCCAUCCUAGCUUGAGGGGGAGUAUUAAGUCUUAAGAAGUCAUUAAGUCGGUUAGUUAGCUCAUUAAUUGAAUAGUCAGUUAGUUAGUUAUUAAAAUCUGUUGUAACUAACUACACUGCUUGUAACUAACUACACUGCAGAAAGCCAGCUAAGGCAUCGUGUAUAAAUAGACAUUCAAUUGUCAUUGUUGACACAAGAAAUAAAAUUCCUUUCUAUCCUUUGUUCAAAGUGCUCUCAAUUCAAUUGUUCAUCAUCUGUGAUUGAUGAAAGUUAACAUCUUCUAUUCAUUGUAGAGGGGGGGAUUUUUUUUUUUGGAGUUGAAAAUUUUAGAAAAAGAAACAUUGAGAAGUAGCGAGAAAGCAAGAAGAAAAUAUUGGAGAAAAGUGGGGAGUUUUUCUUGAGCGAUUUUUACACUUGAGAAAUUUGGAAUACAUUUUAGUUUUUGGUUUGUAAGAGCCUUUGCUCGAAGUCAGUUCGGAUAUCCCGAUUGUUUGCUCGAUUUUUUGAAGUGGUGUAAGAGGUCGCCGCUCGUUUCGGCUCGUUCUGUCUCGGCUUCGUUGCACCUUUAAAGGUAACACCUCUUUCUUUGUAUGAUUUUUCUUCCUUUAUAUUUUAAGAUGGUGUUUUACUUGUAUCCUGGAAGUUUGCUUCCUGCUGAUAGUUAUUAAGUUCUUGACGUUCUGAUACACCUUAGUUGCGAUACUCUAGUUAUUUCGAGUAUCGUUUUCGAUCUUGUUGAUUCGUGCCUAGAUUUGCUGCUUCUUUGUUGGUUUUAUUUAAGGGUGUUUCACUAAUCUUUUCUUGAAUUUAUUGGUUUGAAUUCCACCGAGCAUGUAUGCUUCGUUUCACUCGUUCAUUAACGUCAGCAUCUGUAGGCUCUCCCUUUGCUGCUUGCCUUUGCUUAACCUGUUCAACAAGUAUGUUUGUCCAGUUUAGCGAUUGAUUGAGAGUGUUCAAUGUCUAUUGCUGUUUUUGAAGUAAAAUUGCAGCUUUGCAUCGGGUUAUUUAAGUAUCGGCUAAUCGUCCUAUGUUUUUGAGGCAUAGUAAUUAAUUUUCUUGCAUGUUGCCGCUAAUUAAAAUUGCAAUGGCUCUUCUAUCUUUGUCUAAAUCUAAAGAUGUCUCCUGAUGUUGGCUCGCCAUCUAUCUUGGCCAUUUACGUGUUUCUUUGCUUAAUAAUGCCCCUUUUCUCUGCAUUUUUCUUGUAUUUAUUCAUGUCUACUCGUGUUUGUGUCCGGCAUGCUCUUUAUCCCUUAAUGAUCUCAUCACUGGCUCCCCAACUUGUUUGGAAUUUGAUCCCGCCAUCAGUAAUUAAUUUUGUUUUCUGUACUGAAAGUCCCGGGUGACAAUUACUUAAGAAUGUGGAGAAUGACAGCCUUUAUUGUGCUAUUAGUCUCCUCGUCUGCAAUAAGUUGAUUUUUUCAGCUAAAAGUAGUAUUGUUGAGAUAAAUAUUUAACAAAGAUUCCGACUUGUUCAUCUUAUGUCUAAAAAACAAUAAUCAUAUCCCUUGGCUGAUUCACGUGUUUCCCGAAGUGUGCUAAGUAAUGAGUUGUUUCGGUCUCAAAUGUAUAUCCUGGCUGCCGUAGUUGCCAAAUUGGACUUUAGUAAUUUCAUGUUGUCUUUUUCCUUUGGUCUACAAUUUAAAAUUUAAUUAUUAUUUUUUCUAUGUGUCCACACUUGCCUAUUUCAACUACUGGUAAUUUGCUAAAAAAUGGAGUGAGUCGGAGGCAAUAGUAUAAGCGUGAGGAGUCUGGUCAUCUCGGCUUGCUCUUGGUUUUUCUUUUCAUGUAUUUGCAUUUUUUGUUCACAGCUACUGCUAGUUGCUUGCAAUAUAAAUGGGUUAUGUUCCUUUUGAUACGUUCAUCAUUUAGUGACUAGUUCUGAGAUGUUAUUACUGGUUACUGAUUCUCUUGUUCUUUUCUUCGUUUUGCAUGAAAAAUCUGUCUGAGUUCAUUACGAACUCCUAUCUUCCCUCUUGCAUUUUGGGAGAGCCGCAAAGGCUCAAAAACUCCCUUUAUCGAGUUAGCCGGCCACUAAAAUCAAAGAACAAGUCCCUCAAAUCGACGAACAGGUCCCAAAGGUGGGGAAAUGCGGAAGCGGAGGAUAAUUGAAAAGAUCGGGCCAAAGGCCCACUCUUUAUAUAAAGAGGAUUGUAUUUUUUAUUUAUUAGGCCUAAGUCCAGUUAUUUGCUAUUAUAUUGUUAGAAUUUAGGACAGGUGGCGAGAAUUGGGCCUUGUGGCCCAAAAUGAAAUUAGGCCCAAGUGUUGGUCCAGGCGGACAGAAAAAUCAAACUUGGGCCCGAGUCUCUUUCCCUUUCUAUUUUAUUGUGUUUAUCUACUAGUUAAUAUUUGCCAUUAAUCUUAAGAUUAACAAUUCAAAUCCCCAAAAGACGCUCAUUUUCGCUUUAAAUCUUUUUUACUAAACCAUUCAUCUCUUAACAAGACUUAAAGAAAUAAUUUUAUAAGAUAACCACUCAGAUAAUAUUUAAAUAUUUCCCUUUUUUCCUUUUUAAAAAAAAAAUAGCUCUAACUAUAAAAUAGUUCAAUCAUGUUAUUCGAAUUAAGUUAAAGUAUUUUUAGCCAAAUAAUUAAUUGUCGGAUAACCGCUUAUUAGCGGGGAUUUUGGGUGCUUUCAAAUCCUUUCUGAAAUGCUAAUAUGAACCUCGAACCCCCUUAAAUAUUUUUCAAUUGAUUUCCUGUUUUAAUCAUUUGAAAAUCAGAUUUCUUGAUUUUUCUUAAAAAUUAAGUGGCGACUUUUAAAAACAGUCUUAAAUUAUUUUAAAAUAAAACAGUUAGUGUUACUAUUUGUUAAUCAAAUCCACAAAUAAAAUUAUCUUUAUAUUAUUAAGUUUUAUUUCAAGUAAAAGCAUAAAUAGCUAAAUAAAAAUAUUAACCUAAUUAUUUUUCAAUAAUCAUAAUAAAAUAUAAAAACUAUGACAAUAUUCCAUAGGCUACGUAGUGAUUCCUAGAAAUUUUAGGAAAAUUUUAUUUUAUGUAAUACAUAUUUUAUAAACAUAAUUUAUAUUUAGAUUGUAAUAUUUCAAACUUUAGACUGAUUUUGAGUUUAGACUCUUGUUAUUUUUAAUACUCUAUUUAUUAUUUAUUUUUAAUUAAUUUUUAUUUGGCUCACGGGUUGGCCCCCUAUCCAUAUUUCUCAAGCCCCUCAAAUUGGCAGACUUAUUCAGGCCAGGCUAAAAAAUCACCUUUUUCUUAAAUGGGCUCCAAAAAUCAUAGCCCAACCCUAUCAAAUCACGGGUUAGGCUAGGCCGGCCCAACGGGCCUAGCCCAUAUUGACGGCUCUAUAAACAACUAAUAAAACUAAUUGGAUCAUUCUUACUGCACCAUUGGUCCUAAUCCUAUACCUAUCAUACUGAUAUAGAGGCGAAUUCAGAACUUAAAAUUUAUGAAUUCUUAUAAAAAAAAAACUAAAAUUUAUGAACGAUAUAAUUGAGUUCAUAAUCAAAUUAUACUAAAUACUUAAUGAUUUUCUUAGUACAUAUAAAUAAUAUGAAUAAAAUCUAUUGAGUUCACACUAACCUCUCUAUAGUGUGGCAGGUAAAAUCAAUAAUUUUGAUCCAAAUUGUACUUUGUAUUUAUGAUAAUAAAUUUGUUUGUUAUGUGUAAAAAAAUAUUCGGAACCCAAUCCGACCAGUAAACGCCAGUAGUAGUCAUAGUAUUUGGAACAAAGAAAAGCAAGGGAAUAACAAACCAUAUCUUCUGCUCCAACUUCAUUUUCUUAUAGUAUUUUUGGAGGGAAAAAAGGGAAUACAAAUUAAAUAUUAUCAGAAUGCCAACCAAAUACUGACAUUGUGCUCUAUCUUUACUGUGGAAAAAAAUUAAAUGUAAUUUAUUUAUGCAGUUUUUUAAUCUUCCAGGGGUCCCAUUUUUCUAUAGAUUGAAUUAUCUUUAAUAUUUUAUGACAAAAUACUGUAAAGUGGUGUAUAGUGGCAUAUAUAUAUACCAUUUGUAUAUUCCUCAAAAUCAUGAUAAUACCAUUUGUUUCUAACUUUUUAAUUGUACUAAUUGAAUAGAUUAACUGUACAAUAUACUUUUGUUUAGUUCAAAAUUUUCCUCUUUGUACUUUAAGCUUUGGUGUCUAUUGUUUUCCACAUUUUAUGAGGUGUUAGGACUAGCAAAAGGCAUAAUACAUAAACAUACAUUCAAACUAGGUCUUAGUUAGAGUGAUCAUUUAGACACCUCCAAAAUUUAUGUAUCACGUCAGUAUAGGGUGUCCACGAGACACAUUAAGGAUGAGUUGGAGUGUUUAGCUGUUAGUUGAGAUGUCUAGAUGUACAUUCUCAAUUAGUUACGGUUGCGAAAUUUUAAUUGGAUGACAAAACUAGGAUCGAAGUUUCGAGUGUUUGGCAUCUGACAGAUGAAAAAAAAAAUCUGAAAUUUAAGAACAAACUUUUUCUUACAUAACGAACACAUGAAAAUAAGUAAGAAACGUACUUAUUCUCCGGAAAAACAUUUUCCAAUAAGACAUUUUAGAGGCAUUGUUAUCAUUUGGUAGAUCCAGGUCCAUGACCUAUUUCUAUGGAACACAUUUUCCAUGGUACUGAACACACUCUCAGAACUUUGCUCGUUGAUAUCCACUAAUACGGACCUCACUUGUAGGAUUUCAUUGGAUAUGUUGUCGUUGUUUGAGUUGAUAUGCCCUGCUGAAAGUCUUUGUGGGUAGGAGGGAGUAUAAGAAUGAUCCACAACUCCCGGCAACGAUGUAACAUUACCAUGUUGGUCCAAGUAUAACAAAUGGAUCCCUAUUUUCUUUACUGUGCCUCUGCCAGUUUCAUUCUCUACUGUUAUCUGUUCCCCGCCUUUGAUAUUCAGGCCUUUAAAAGGUGUAUCAUUUGAGUAAGAGAAGUAAUAUACAUAUGAUACUUCGUGACUGUCAGAUCUAUCACAAGGCCAAAUCCAUGAAAAACCUGAACGCUUUAUAUGGGCAACAGUAACAGCGAAGUGUAUAAGCUCAUGUACAUCGCAAAGGCGGCAAACAAACCAGAGAACCAUUCCUAAGAACUUGUUAUUAUGUACUGUGGGCAUAGUCAAACAGAUAGAUGUAGCUGUUACUUUAUUGCUGCACCAAUCUGGAAUCUCAUUGCUUUCGUGAUUAAUUUGUAAUGACAGCUUCAUCAGACAAAUUAAGACGCAAUUAGAUCAUUAAUUAUUAAUAUGAUACGAGAGAUAGAUCAUUAAUUAUUAAUAUGAUACUAACCUCAUACCGUUGAUGUUUUCUAGACGGAAUUGAUAGAGCAUGGGCACUAAAGAAGCCUUCAUUGAAUGGAUUCUGCAGAAGAGUACAAUUAAUCAUGCCCAUCUUCUCUAUUGAAGGGAGGUUGUCCAACCCUGUAAUCUUGACCAGUUUUUGGCAAUUCCUAAGUUCAAGAGUUGUAAGGUACUUUAAAUUUGAUAUUGACGGGAGUGUUUGAAGGUUCUCACAAUCAUUCAAAUGCAAGGAACUCAACCGUGGUAACUUGGAAAAAUCAAAGGGUAGAUUGAGGAAACUGUUGCCGCUCAAAUCUAAAUCAUGUAAGUUGGAUAAACUCCCAAUAUCCCUAGGAACAUCAGCCUCCGAGAAACCACAAUAUCGAAGGCUUAACAUCGUAAUAAAAAUUGGCAAGAAUUCUACGCAGCGGACUCUUCUUUGAGAAAACCUCCUUUUGGUCUCCAAGUAUUGACCUCCUAAUUCCAAAAUUAUAAGAUUUCCUAGCAUUUCAACAGAUCCAGGCAAUUCUUUUAUACCUGUUUCACCUGCAUUAAGAAUACUUAGGCUUUGCAUAUCUCCAAUGUCAACUGGCAGUGUUUGUAAAGAUAAGCAGUCAUUAAUGUACAAGUAUUGAAGGGAUUUUAGCUGGCAUAUGCUGCUCGGAAGAUCCGUAAUCUUUUUGCAACCAUUCAAUUUAAGAUCAGUUAGUCUGUCCAAAUUUCCUAUUGAUGGAUGAAUCUCCUUUAGACUUGAGCAAUUCUCAAGCCACAAAGUCUUGAGACUUCGUGAACCGUUGAAGUUUGGAGUUUUUCUAAGGCUCUUGCAAUCAGAGAGAUCCAGCUUUUUCAAAUUUCUACAAUACUAAAAGUAAACAAAAUAUUGUUUCAAUUAAGAUUUUCUUUCUCUUAAACAUUACACAUAAAAUUGCAGAAUUGAGUAACGGACCUGCAAAUUCAAACCAAAUUCUUGGAUAUUGCUCCCUUUCAUAUUCAGAAAUACAAGUUUCUCAGAUGGAAAAUUUGACGGUAUACAUUUUAAAGGACAUCCUUUCCAAGACAGCCAUCUGAGCUCCUUGGACAAUAGCUCAAAAUCUCCACUAAUAUGUAAGUCAUCAAUUUUAAGCACCCUAAGAUAUUUCAUUUUCUGAAAUGCUUUGGUGCUCACCUUCACACCCUUUAAUGCCUGUCGUUCUACCACCAGUAUUUCUACAUUUUCAGAACCCUGCAGUUUAGUAAAAAGAAAAGUACUAUAAGACCAUGUUUAAGUAUGAUAAAUUAAGAAAGAGAAAUGCUUUAUACAAAUUGAAGGUCAAACAAAGAGAAUAAAUUAUCUACCAAUAAAACUAAAUUCACACAUUAUAUCCAACUAAAGGAUAUUUAUUUGAUAAUUUUGUCUUUGAUAGUUUGAGUGUUUAGACUCCAGUAAAUGUUCAUUUCAAGUACAAAAUGGUUCAAACAUCGAGAGAUAAUUUACUUGCCGGAGAAGAAUUAAGCACAAAUGCAUAAAUUAUUAGCAAAUAUAUAUCAAUAUAAAUGAAAAAUGAAGAAGAAUAAGUAUUAACCAAGAUAAAGAUAAUGAAAUUUACUGACUUUAUUUCCUUGUAGAACAUCAAUGGCUUCUAGAGGGUUGAACAAUCUACUUCGUUUUCCAGGGUCUUGAGAUUCCAUGCGAACGAUUUCUCUUCCCAUUUCCUGCACUAGAUCAUGCAUCACCAAACCAGGCCGAUCCUCCCUUUGGAGCAAGUUCCUUUGGACUAAGGUUGAAAUUGCACUUUCAGAAUAAAAACCACACGCGUUUAAUGUUUUGGCAACUUCAUCCUCAUAACAACCAUGGAAGGCACAUGCGAUAUCAAGGAAAACACUCCGAGUAUUGACAUCAAGUCCAUCAAAGCUUAUCUUGAGAAUCUUUUGAAUAUCACCAUGAGGAAUUGCUUUUAGUUUUUUGAACUCGUAUCUCCAUUCUUUAACGGAUCUCCCUAGCAGAUGUGACCCCAAUGUCACAAGAGCUAAUGGUAGCCC